UACUCUAAAGUACCAGAUGAACAAAAUAUUGUAGCUAAGAAAGGUAUAUCAAGUGGACACGUGUAUCUACGAAAUGUUGUUACAUGGUCCAUAUGAAUGAGUCAUUCUUGCAUUUUUAAAAUAGCACUUGCAUGGUGUUUUCCUGUAACGAAUCACUAACAACUUGUAAGACGUGAUCCCAGUGGAUGAGCCAUGAGAGCUGAGAGUAAAAAGUAUAUUUCAGCGCCACAGAAAAGAGAUGCAAUUUUAGUUAACCUGCAUUCUGCAAACCGAACCUAAAACCUAUUGGAACCCUAAACCAAUAAUUGCAGUUUCUGUAGAGCAUAUCUUGACUAUUUGCUCCUCUUAAGCAGCCCAUCAAUUUUCAUGACAAUUUUGCCUCUAGUGAUUCCUCAGAACACUGGUACGUGUACCCCUACAUCCACUUGGAAAAGUAUUCAAGAAUAAGACAUGCAUGAAGUAUCCACCUUACAGUACAAAAAAAUUAAUCUGACUAUUAUAUCUAUGGUACGUUAAGACCAUAGAUGAAACAAACCUUCCCUUUACUCCUGAACUAGGCAAGAAAUGCACAAUUGUGACAAUGGAGUUCGGUUUUAUGGUCUUAUUGUAUAGCACACAUCAAAUGACAUGAAAAGAAUGUGCAGAACAAUCUCUAAACAAGAGGGAAAAUACAAACAACCCUAAUUAAUUACCAGUCUUGCUACUGAUCUAUCUCAAGAAAAGAAAAACUAAUACAAUACUACUCCCUCUGUAGCUAAAUACUUGUAGUUGNNNNNNNNNNNNNNNNNNNNNNNNNNNNNNNNNNNNNNNNNNNNNNNNNNNNNNNNNNNNNNNNNNNNNNNNNNNNNNNNNNNNNNNNNNNNNNNNNNNNNNNNNNNNNNNNNNNNNNNNNNNNNNNNNNNNNNNNNNNNNNNNNNNNNNNNNNNNNNNNNNNNCAACUACAAGUAUUUAGGUACAGAGGGAGUAAUAAAAAGACUCCCUACACUUGUUGUACGCCAAGGGCAAUGAAGUAGAAAGCCCUCCUAAAAGGAACAAAUAGAAAUCGGUGCUCUUUACUGUGGCGUGGGCGGGGAAAAACUCACGUGCUCUUCCUUCCAGUUGCCGGGGUUCAGGGGCUCCUGCCACAUGUUGACUUUGGUCGAUCCGUGGUGAUCUGUUCAAGCACACAAGAGGUGAAUCGAUCGAUCAAAAAAAGUACCGAGGCAACAAUCACAAGGACGCGCCGCAACAAAAUAAAGAGGGAAAUGCGCCCUGAUUUCUGGCGGACAGCAGGCCCCCCUUAUGCUGCCUGUAUCCCCCUAAUGGACAACCAAUUGCACAACAGAGUCGUGGCCAACAACCGUGUACGGCCGACGCAGGACCGGCCGAUCCGAACGAUCCGUGUGUGCGAUUCUCGGAUCUGGGAAGGGGAGGAGAAGGCGCGCAUUCUCAGAUCCAGCCAUACCUGCGGCGCCGGCUAGACGGCGGCUGGAGAUGAGGCGGGCGAGGGGGGAGGAAGACGAGGAGGAGGAGGAGGCCGCCGCAAGCAGACGAGACGCCAUCGCUUCGAUUCGACCUAGUUGGGCGAUGUGUCUGGAGAGCGCAAAUCCUCUUAACCCUAAAUGCUGGUGCCUGGUGUGGUGGUGGUGGAUAUGUCGCGUCCUCGGCCCGCUCCCCGCUCAAAGCGUUCUGGCCGUAAUUGGAUCUCAGACAUGGUCCACUGCUCAGAAUGGUUUUGGUUUUUUCUUUACGGUGAUAAAAGAAAGAUUUAGGGAUGUGCAACCCGGUAGGGCCUGUUUGGGACUCCUCUGCUCCUUCAAAUUCAGCUCUGAUUAAAAAAAACAAAUCAAACGGGGUAGCUUCACGGUAUGUCACUCCGCAAAAAAACUAGAAUUUGGGAUAAAACUUCAAAGUUUUUAUGAAGCUCCUCAGAUGGUGCUUCCAAAAACUCUAGAAGCUGGAGUUGGGGGAAAAUUACCCACCACUGACACCAGUAAGUGGAUACCCCUUCAUUUCUUUCCCCUCAACCAAUCAAAUAGAUUCUUUUCACCAGAUUUUCUAUUUUUAAAGCUGGAGCUAGAUGAAAGCCAAACAUUCUCUUAAUAGUGUUAUAGCUUUUGUAUGAAACUGCUUCAAAGUGAAUUUGAUGAAGUGAAGCUGAUUUUGGUGAAUUGAAGCAGUCCCAAACGGGCCUAUUUCUCUCCCGCAAAUGUCCCUUUUUAGAGCAUCUCUAGCAGACCCCGUAAAAGAGUGAUUCAUAAAAUGCGUUUACACGAUGCUGUGGAUCAAUUUUGCGGGGUCGUUUCACGUAUCAAAGAUUACACCAUGUAUAUGAAACUGUAAAAUUUGAAGAAAAAACAUUCACGGGUGAAACCACAUCAUGGUUCUUCAUCAAACUACAUCAUUUUUCAUCAGCAAACUACAUCAGUUCUUCAUACUACUAGGUAGGGGGACUGGGGGCCGUGCAGCGUAUCCGAGCCUAGGCAACCAAAAAUGACGGGUGUGGCGGUGACGACGUGGCGGAGGAGCCGGAGGAGCUCAGUCGGAGUCGAUCCAGAUAUUGUCCUGCUCGGCCUUCAUGACGCGCAGGUCCGCCUCCUUGGACGCGCUCGCUUGCGGCGUUGUGACGCCUUGCUCGAGGAAGAUCUGCUCGAUCUCGAGCUCGCGGCAGUUGUGCGCGGCGACCUCCUCCGCCUCCCUCACCGAACGAUCCAUGAUGGCGCAAAGCCGGUCAUUAUUUCUCUCCCGCAAAUGUCCCUUUUUUGCGUUUGCACUGUGUCCGUGGACAAGAUACCACAUGCUGCCAUCCAACGUUGCCCCCUUCAAAAACGAUUCAAACUAACCGACCGAAAUUUGUUCAAACACAACGGAAUUUAUCCAAAUUCGGUUAUAAUUUACAUAAAAGAUAAAUAUUUUGACUAUUUUGCAAAACAAAUAAGAAAAUAACCUAAACCAUUAUCGGACGACCACCUCAUACGUGUGGCAGCACUGCCCUGCCGCACUGUCGUAGUUGUCGUCGUGGUCCCUCUGACGACAGGACAACCUUGAAGGGUCGCGGCAGCCUUGCGUGAAGGUUGGCUCCGCUCGCGGAGGAGCCGCUCUGCAUCCUGCUGUGCAAUGCGGAGUGAUGUCGCACCCACUGCCGACGUCGCCAGAGCCCUAUCGGCCCUUGCAACAUUCCAUGGGUGCACAUUGAGUGGACGUAUACCUCGCCAAAUGGGUCGUGUCAAUCGGGUCAGCCCGAUAGCACGCCAACCCGGCACGAGAUGGAUCCGGCCCGGCACGCUUUAAUCGUGCUCGUGCCCGGCACGCAUGUAACAGCCCGAGACUGACGCUUCAGAAGAUUCCCCUUUUAUUCCAUUUGUCGUCGUGUUAUUGUUUUGUUUGUCGCAUUCAUCAUUCGCAUCAUAUGCAUUGCAUCGGUACUCCGUUGCCGUCAGUUUCAAAACUUGUAUCCGUGAGCGUGAUGAUUAUGCUAUUUGGAGUUUCUUCUUCUUCAUCAUCAUCGAUCUAGGAUGGGUUCCAGGGUGGCAGCCUUGGAUAUCAAGGAUGGACGUCGUUACUUUAUCGUUUAUUUUCGUUCGUGGUCGGACCCUGUUCUUCUUGAUGAUGUGUGAUUAUGUUGUUGUAUUGAUGUGACUCUGAUGUAGCUUGUGGCGAGUGUAAGCCAAUUCCAUAUACUCUUAUAUUCUAUACAUGUACUUGUAACGAUAUUCAUUCUUGCGAAACGACGAGAUGUGUUUCUAUCUGUGUCGAGGCCUCGUGCCAAAAUAAGGAUAGGAUCCCAUCUUGGCCGUUACAACGCAGCACGCCUCGGCCCAUGUUUCGGCCUGGAGGCUGGGCACGCGGGCCGACACGGCACGACCCGUUUAAUUUAUAUAGAUUUUUUAGAUUUAUAUAUAUAUAUAGCCCAUGAGGCUAAAAAUAUGCGGUCCAGCGUGCUAAUCGGGCCAACAUGCCGACCCGUUUAAUAACCGGGGCGUAUCUGGGCCUGAAGGCGCAGCCCACGGGCUGGCACGGCACGACCCGAUUAAUAAACGUGCCGACGCGGGUCGUGCCGUGCCGGGCCGACCCGUUUGGCCUGGUAUGAGUGGAUGGGAAUUGAAUGAUACCCCUUAUGUAUUAAUUGCUGAAAUUCUUAGGGUUUGAUGUCGAAUACCAUAUAAGUUUUGAUAUUGAUGAUGUUAUGACUUAGUUUUGUUUAAUACUUGAUACUAGGGCCUGAUGAACGUGAUUUCAUAUCUGAACUAUAUGUGUUUUCAUGAAUAUUUAUGUGUUUGAAUCAUGAUACAUCUCCAACGUAUCUAUAAUUUUUUAUGGUUUCAUGUUAUUAUCUUGUCAAACUUUGGAUGUUUUACAUGCCUUUUAUAUAUUUUUUGGGACUAACUUAUUAACUCAGUGCCAAGAGCCAAUUCUUGUUUUUUCCAUGUUUUUUACCCCUUUCAGAGGAGGAUUUUGAACGGAGUCCAAACGGAAUGAAACUGCCAAAAAGAUUUUUUCCGGAACAGAAAAAUAUCAAAGUGCCGGAGAAUCAGGGCAGGGGGCCACCAAGGACCCCACAAGCCCUCACAGCGCGGCCAGGGCGGUCGCGGCCACGAGGCUUGUGGGCUCCCUGAGGCUCCGUCGCCCUAGGUUUUGCGCCUAUAUAUUCCCUAAAAAUCCAUAAAUAAUCAGGAGAUCAUCGAAAGUACUUUUCCGCCGCCGCAAGCUUCUGUCUCCGCAAGAUCCCGUUUGGGGCACGUUCUGGUGCCGUGCCGGAGGGGGGAUUCGGAUACGGAGGACUUCUUCAUCAACACCAUGACCUCUCUGAUGAUGCGUGAGUAGUUCACCAUAGACAUACGGGUCCAUAGCUAGUAACUAGAUGGCUUCUUCUCUCUCUUGGAUCAUCAAUACAAAGUUCUCCAUGAUCUUCAUGGAGAUCUAUCCGAUGUAAUCUUCUUCUACGCUGUGUUUGUCGAGAUCCGAUGAAUUGUGGAUUUAUGAUCAGAUUAUCUAUGAAUCUUAUUUGAGUUUCUUCUGAUCUCUCUUAUGCAUGAUUUCAUAUCCUUGUAAUUCUCUUCGAGUUGUAGGUUUUGUUUGGCCAACUAGAUCUAUGAUUCUUGCAAUGGGAGAAGUGCUUCGUUUUGGGUUCAUACUGUGCGGUGACCUCACCCAGUGACAGAAGGGGUAGCGAGGCACGCAUCGUGUUGUUGCCAUCAAGGGUAAACAGAUGGGGUUUUCAUCAUUGGUUUGAGUUUAUCCCUCUACAUCAUGUCAUCUUGCUUAAAGUGUUACUCUGUUCGCCAUGAACUCAAUACACUAGAUGCAUGCUCGAUAGCGCUCGAUGUGUGGAGUAAUAGUAGUAGAUGCAGAAAGUAUCGGUCUACUUGUCUCGGACGUGAUGCCUAUAUGUAUGAUCAUUGCCUUAGAUAUCAUCAUGACUUUGCGCGGUUCUAUCAAUUGCUCGAUAGUAAUUUGUUCACCCACCAUGAUAUUUUCUAUUUUGAGAGAAGCCUCUAGUGAACACUAUGGCCCCGGGGUCUACUCCACAACAUAUUUUCAGCCUUACACUUUUUACUUCGUUGCACUUUCCGCCUUCAAAUCUCACUUUGCAAACAAUCUUGAAGGGAUUGACAACACCUUUAUAGCGUUGGGUGCAAGCUCGUUCUGUUUGCGCAGGUACUCUGGACUUGACGAGACUCUCCUACUGGAUCGAUACCUUGGUUCUCAAACUGAGGGAAAUACUUACUGCUCCUGUGCUGCAUCACCCUUUCCUCUUCAAGGGAAAAACCAACGCAAGCAAGUCUCCGUCAACGCGUCAAUUUUUGGCGCUGUUGUUUGAGAAGUAGCAAGAAGAAUUUCUGGCGCCGUUGCCGGGGAGGAAGAUCAAGUCAAGAACUCAUCCAAGUAGGUGUCGCAAACUCAUCUCUUGCAUUUACUUUGUUUGCCAAUUGCCUCUCGUUUUCCUCUCCCCCACUUCACCAAUUUGCCUUUUUCGUUUGCCUUUUCCGUUUGCUUUUUCGUUCGCCCUUUUUCUCGCUUGCUCUUUGUUCGCUUGUGUGCUUUCUUGCUUGCCGAAGUCACCAUGAAUGAAAACACCAAACUCUAUGACUUCUCUAAUACUAAUAAUUAUCAUUUUAUUAGUACUCCGAUUGCUCCUGCCACUAGUGUGGAGUCAUACGAAAUCAAUGCCGCUUUGCUGAAUCUUGUUAUGAAAGAGCAAUUCUCCGGCCUUCCUAGUGAAGAUGUCGCAUCCCAUCUCAAUACCUUCAUUGAGCUUUGCGAUAUGCAAAAGAAGAAAGAUAUGGAUAAUGAUGUGAUUAAAUGAAGCUUUUUCCUUUCUCGUUGCGAGAUCGCGCAAAAACUUGGUUUUCUUCUUUGCCCAAAAAUAGUAUCAAUUCUUGGGAUAAGUGCAAAGAUGCUUAUAUAUCCAAGUAUUUUCCGCCGGCUAAGAUCAUCUCUCUCCGUAAUGAUAUCAUGAAUUUCAAGCAACUUGAUCAUGAACAUGUUGCACAAUCUUGGAAGAGAAUGAAAUUGAUGGUUAGAAAUUGUCCCGCUCAUGGCCUGAGUCUCUGGAUGAUUAUUCAAAUCUUUUACGCUGGCUUGAAUUUCGCUUCUAGAAAUAUCUUGGACUCCGCCUCAGGUGGAACGUUCAUGGAAAUCACGUUAGGGGAAGCUACAAAGCUCGUAGACAACAUCCUGACGAAUUACUCUCAGUGGCACACUAAAAGGUCACCUACUAGUAAGAAGGUACACGCUAUAGAAGAAAUUAACUCGUUGAGUGCUAAGAUGGAUGAGUUAAUGAAUUUGGUUGCUAGUAGAAGUGCUCCUUUAGAUCCUAAUGAUAUGCCCUUGUCUUCUUUGAUUAAGAGUAGCAACGCUAGCUUGGACGUUAAUUUUGUUGGUAGGAAUAAUUUGUUGGAAAUAUGCCCUAGAGGCAAUAAUAAAUUAGUUAUUAUUAUAUUUCUUAGUUCAUGAUAAUCGUUUAUUAUCCAUGCUAUAAUUGUAUUGAUUGGAAACACAAUACUUGUGUGGAUACAUAGACAAAACACUAUCCCUAGUAAGCCUCUAGUUGACUAGCUCGUUGAUCAAAGAUGGUCAAGGUUUCCUGGCCAUAGGCAAGUGUUGUCACUUGAUAACGGGAUCACAUCAUUAGGAGAAUCAUGUGAUGGACUAGACCCAAACUAAUAGACGUAGCAUGUUGAUCGUGUCAUUUUGUUGCUACUGUUUUUUGCGUGUCAAGUAUUUGUUCCUAUGACCAUGAGAUCAUAUAACUCACGGACACCGGUGGCAACACGUUGAUGGAGAUCAUGGUGUGGCGCCGGUGACAAGAAGAUCGUGUCGGUGCUUUGGUGAUGGNNNNNNNNNNNNNNNNNNNNNNNNNNNNNNNNNNNNNNNNNNNNNNNNNNNNNNNNNNNNNNNNNNNNNNNNNNNNNNNNNNNNNNNNNNNNNNNNNNNNNNNNNNNNNNNNNNNNNNNNNNNNNNNNNNNNNNNNNNNNNNNNNNNNNNNNNNNNNNNNNNNNNNNNNNNNNNNNNNNNNNNNNNNNNNNNNNNNNNNNNNNNNNNNNNNNNNNNNNNNNNNNNNNNNNNNNNNNNNNNNNNNNNNNNNNNNNNNNNNNNNNNNNNNNNNNNNNNNNNNNNNNNNNNNNNNNNNNNNNNNNNNNNNNNNNNNNNNNNNNNNNNNNNNNNNNNNNNNNNNNNNNNNNNNNNNNNNNNNNNNNNNNNNNNNNNNNNNNNNNNNNNNNNNNNNNNNNNNNNNNNNNNNNNNNNNACGAGCCUAGCAUGUGCAGACAUGGCCUCGGAACACAUGAGACCGAAAGGUCAAGCAUGAAUCGUAUAGUUGAUAUGAUUAGCAUAGAGAUGCUUACCACUGAAACUAUUCUCGACUCACGUGAUGAUCGGACUUGAGAUAGUGGAUUUGGAUCAUGUACCACUCAAAUGACUAGAGAGAUGUACUUUUUGAGUGGGAGUUCUUAAGUAAUAUGAUUAAUUGAACUAAUUGUCAUGAACAUAGUCUAAUGGUCUUUGCGAAUUACGAUGUAGCUUGCGCUAUAGCUCUACUGUUUUUAUAUGUUCCUAGAGAAAAUUUAGUUGAAAGUUGAUAGUAGCAAACUUUGCAGACUGAGUCUGUAAAAUCGAGGAUUGUCCUCGUUGCUGCACAGAAGGCUUAUGUCCUUAAUGCACCACUCGGUGUGCUGCACCUCGAGCGUCAUCUGUGGAUGCUGUGAACAUCCGACAUACACGUUUCUUAUGACUACACGAUAGUUCAGUACAAAAAUACUUAAUGGCUUAGAAGCAAGGCGCCGAAAACGUUGUAAAACGUCACAGAACAUAAGUGAUGUUCUAAAGAGAUGAAAUUGUGAUUUCAUGCUUGUGCCCUUGUUAAGAGGUACGAGACCUCCAACAAGAUUCUUUGUCCACAAAGUAAAGGAGAAAGGCUCAAUCGUUGAGCAUGUGCUCAGAUUGUCUGAGUACGACAAUCGCUUGAAUCAAGUGGGAGUUAAUCUUCCAGAUGAGAUAGUGAUAGUUCUCCAAAGUCACUGCCACCAAGCUGUGAGAGCUUCGUGAUGAACUAUAACAUAUCAAGGAUACAUACAAUGAUCCUUGAGCGAUUCGCGAUGUUUGACACUGCGAAAGUAGAAAUCAAGAAGGAGCAUCAAUAGUUGAUGGUUUGUAAAACCACUAAGUUUUAAGAAAGGCAAGGGCUAGAAGGGAUACUUCGUGAAACGGCAAAACAGUUGCUGCACUAAUGAAGAGACCCAAGAUUAAACCCAAACCCGAGACUGAGUGCUUCUGUAAUGAGGGGAACAGUCACUGAGGCGGAGCAACUCUAGAUACUUGGUAGAUAAGAAGGCUGGCAAAAGUCGAAAGAAGUGUAUUUGAUAUACAUGAUGUUGAUGUGUACUUUACUAGUACUCCUAGUAGCACGAGGGUAUUGGAUACCGGUUCGGUUGCUAAGUGAUUAGUGACGCGAAAUGAAAGCUACGGCAUAAACGGAGACUAGCUAAAGGCGAGGUGACGAUACGUGUUGGAAGUGUUUCCAAGAUUGAUAUGAUCAAACGUCGCACGCUCCCUCUACCAUCGGGAUUGGUGUUAAACCUAAAUAAUUGUUAUUUGGUGCUUGCGUUAAGCAUGAACAUGAUUGGAUCGUGUUUAUUGCAAUACGAUUAUUCAUUUAAAGAGAGUAAUGGUUACUCUAUUUUCUUGAAUAAUCACCUUCAAUGGUUUAUUGAAUCUCGAUCGUAGUGUUACACAUGUUCAUGAUAUUGGUGCCAAACGAUACGAGUUGAUGAUGAUAGUACCACUUACUUGUGGCAGUGCCGCUUGAGUCAUGUUAGUAUAAAUUGCAUGAAGAGGCUCCAUGCUGAUGGAUCUUUGUACUCACCUGAUUUCAAAUCACUACUGACAUGCGAAUCAUACCACAUGAGCAAGGCCUUGUUUUCAUUGAGAUGAAAUAAGAUAGUAACUUGUUGGAAGUGAUACAUUUUGAUGUAUGCAGUCCAAUGGGUACUGAAGCACGCAGUGGAUAUCAUUAUGUUCUUACUUCACUGACGAUUUGAGUAGAUACAGGAGUAUUUACUUAAUGAAUCACAAGUCUGAAAUGUUGAAAAGUUCAAAUCCGUUUCAGAGUGAAGUUCGUCGUAACAAGAGGAUAAACUGUCUACGAUAUGAUCAUAGAAAUGAAUAUCUGAGUUACGAGUUUUGGUACACAGUUAAGACAAUGUGGAAAUUGUUUCGCAGUUCAUGCCACCUGGAACAUCAUAGUGUGAUGAUGUGUCUGAACGUCAUAGCCACGCACUAUUUGGUAUGGUGCAUACUAUGAUAUCUUUUAUCGAAUUACCACUAUCGUUUAUGGGUUAUGCAUUAGAGACAACCGCACUCACUUUAAAUAGGGCACCGCGUAUUUCCGUUGAGAUGACACAGUAUAGACUGAGGUUUAGAGAAAUCUAAACUGUCGUUUCUUGAAAGUUUGGGGUUUCGACACUUAUGUGAAAAAGUUUCAGUCUGAUAAGCUCGAACCCAAAGCGGAUAAAUGCAUCUUCAUAGGAUAUCCAAAACAGUUGGGUACAUCUCCUAUCUCAGAUCCGAAAGCAAAGUGUUUGUUUCUAGAAACGGAUCCUUUCUCGAGGAAAGGUUUCUCUCGAAAGAAUUGAGUGGGAGGGUAGUAGAACUUGAUGAGGUUAUUGAACCAUCACUUCAACCAGUGUGUAGCAGGGCGCAUGAAGUUGUUCAUAUGAAGUGGAAACUGAUGAUGAUGAUCAUUGAGCUUCGAAUCAAGUUACUACAAACCUCGUAGGUGGACAAGGUCGCGUACUGCUACAGAGUGGUGCAUUAACCCUGUCUUGGAGGUCAUGUUGUUGAGCAACAGUGAACCUACGAGUUAUGGAGAAAGCGAUGGUGGGCCCAGAUUCCGACAAAUGGCUGGAAGCCAUGAAAUCCGAGAGAGGAUCCAUGUGUGAAAACAAAGUGUAGACUUUGGUAGAACUACUUGAUGGUCAUAGGACUAUUGAGUAAAAAUGGAUCUUUAAAAGAAGACAGACGAUGAUGGUGAUAAGUCACUAUUAAGAAAAGCUCGACUUGUCGCAAAGAUGUUUUCGACAAGAUCAAACAGUUGACUAUGAUGAGACUUUCUCACUCGUAGCGAUGCUAAAGGUCUGUUAGAAUUAUGUUAGUUGUUGAUGCAUUAUUUAUGAAAUGUUGCACGUAGGAUGUCAAAACAUUGUUUUCUCGACGGUUUCCUUGAGCAAACAUUGUAUGUGAUACAACCAGAAGGUUUUGUCGAUCCUAAAGAUACUAGCAAGUAUGCAAGCUCCAGUGAUCCUUCAAUGGACUGGUGCAAGCAUCUCGGAGUUGGAAUAUACACUUUGAUGAGAUGAUCAAAGAUUUUGGGUUUGUACAAGGUUUAUGAGAAACUUGUAUUUCCAAAGAAGUGAGUGGGAGCACUAUAGAAUUUCUGAUAGGUAUAUGUGGUUGACAUAUUGUGGAUCAGAAGUAAUGUAGAAUUUCUGUAAAGCAUACAAGGUUGUUUGAAAGAAGUUUUCAAAGGAGUACCUGGAUUACGCUACUUGAACGUUGAGCAUCAAAGAUCUAUGGAGAUAGAUCGAAAGCGCUUAAUAGAAGUUUCAACAAGAUGCAUGCCUUGACAAGUUUUUGAAGUAGUUCAAAAUAGAUCAGCAAAAAAAAAGGAGUUCUUAGUUGCGUUGUGAGGUGUGAAUUUGAGUAAGACUCAAAACCCGACCACGGCAGAAUAAAGAGAAUAGACGAAGGUCGUCUUCCAUGCCUUAGCCGUAGAAUCUAAAGUAUGCCAUGCUGUGUACCGCACCUGAUGUGUGCCUUGACUCAAAGUAUGUUGAGAGGUACAAAGAGUGAUCCAUGAUUGAAUCACUAGCAGCGGUCGAAAUUUAUCCUUAGUAACUAAUGGACUAAGGAAUUUUUCUCGAUUAUGGAGGUGGUUAAAGAGUUUGUCGUAAAGGGUUACGUCAAUGCAAACUUUGACACUAAUCCGAAUAACUAUGAGUAGUGAAACGGAUUCGUAUAGUAGAGUAGAUAUUUGGAGCAUUUCCGAAUAGCACGUAGUAGCAGCAUCUAUAAGAUGACAUAAAGAUUUGUAAAGAACGCACAGAUCUGAAAGUUUCAGAACCAUUGACUAAAACCUCUCUAACGAGCAAGACGUGAUCAGACCCCAUAACUAUAUGGGUGUUGGAUUCGUUGGAAUCACAUGGUGAUGUGAACUAGAUUAUUGACUCUAGUGCAAGUGGGAGACUGUUGGAAAUAUGCCCUAGAGGCAAUAAUAAAUUAGUUAUUAUUAUAUUUCUUAGUUCAUGAUAAUCGUUUAUUAUCCAUGCUAUAAUUGUAUUGAUUGGAAACACAAUACUUGUGUGGAUACAUAGACAAAACACUAUCCCUAGUAAGCCUCUAGUUGACUAGCUCGUUGAUCAAAGAUGGUCAAGGUUUCCUGGCCAUAGGCAAGUGUUGUCACUUGAUAACGGGAUCACAUCAUUAGGAGAAUCAUGUGAUGGACUAGACCCAAACUAAUAGACGUAGCAUGUUGAUCGUGUCAUUUUGUUGCUACUGUUUUCUGCGUGUCAAGUAUUUAUUCCUAUGACCAUGAGAUCAUAUAACUCACGGACACCGGAGGAAUGCUUUGUGUGUAUCAAACGUCGCAACGUAACUGGGUGACUAUAAAGAUGCUCUACAGGUAUCUCCGAAGGUGUUCGUUGAGUUAGUAUGGAUCAAGACUGGGAUUUGUCACUCCGUGUGANGAAAAAAUCAGGAGAUCAUCGAAAGUACUUUUCCGCCGCCGCAGGCUUCUGUCUGUGCAAGAUCCCAUCUCGGGCACGUUCUCGUGCCCUGCCGGAGGGGGGAUUCGGACACGGAGGGCUUCUACAUCAACGCCAUGACCUCUCUGAUGUUGCGUGAGUAGUUCACCAUAGACCUACGGGUCCAUAGCUAGUAAUUAGAUGGCUUCUUCUCUCUCUUGGAUCUUCAAUACAAAGUUCUCCAUGAUCUUCAUGGAGAUCUAUCCGAUGUAAUCUUCUUUUGCGGUGUGUUUGUUGAGAUUCGAUGAAUUGUGGAUUUAUGAUCAGAUUAUCUAUGAAUAUUAUUUGAGUUUCUUCUAAUCUCUCUUAUGCAUGAUUUCAUAUCCUUGUAUUUCUCUUCGAGUUGUAGGUUUUGUUUGGCCAACUAGAUCUACGAUUCUUGCAAUGGGAGAAGUGCUUGGUUUUGGGUUCAUACCGUGCGGUGACCUCACCCAGUGACAUAAGGGGUGGCGAGGCACACAUCGUGUUGUUGCCAUCAAGGGUAAAAAGAUGGGAUUUUCAUCAUUGGUUUGAGAUUAUCCCUCUACAUCAUGUCAUCUUGCUUAAAGCGUUACUCUGUUCGUCAUGAACUCAAUACACUAGAUGCAUGCUAGAUAGCGGUCGUUGUGUGGAGUAAUAGUAGUAGAUACAGAAAGUAUCGGUCUACUUGUCUCGGACGUGAUGCCUAUAUGUAUGAUCAUUGCCUUAGAUAUCGUCAUGACUUUGCGCGGUUCUAUCAAUUGCUCGACAGUCAUUUGUUCACCCACCGUAAUACUUGCUAUUUUGAGAGAAGCCUCUGGUGAACAUUAUGGGCCCCAGGAUCUACUCCACACCAUAUUUUCAGCCUUACACUUUUUACUUUGUUGCACUUUCCGCCUUCAGAUCUCACUUUGCAAACAAUCUUGAAGGGAUUGACAACCCCUUUGAAGUAUUGGGUGCAAGCUUGUUUGUGUUUGCGCAGGUACUCUGGACUUGAGAGACCCUCCUUCUGGAUUGAUACCUUGGUUCUCAAACUGAGGGAAAUACUUACUGCUCCUGUGCUGCAUCACCCUUUCCUCUUCAUGGGAAAAACCAACGCAAGCCCAGCCUCUGUCAACGUGUCAAUUUCUGGCGGUGUUGUUUGUGGGAUAGUAGAAGAAUUUCUGGCACCGUUGUCGGGGAGGAAGAUCAAGUCAAGAACUUAUCCAAGUAGGUGUCACAAACUCAUCUCUUGCAUUUACUUUGUUUGCGAGUUGCCUCUCGUUUUCCUCUCCCCCACUUCACCAAUUUGCCUUUUUCGUUCGCCUUUUCGUUCGCCCUUUUUCUCGCCUGCUCUUUGUUUGCCUGUGUGCUUGCUUGCCUGCUACAACCCGUAUGGCCCCACUAAGGGAUUUUGAUGCUCACCUUGCGAAGAUAGAAGAGAUUGAAACUAGUGUUAAAGGCUUCAUGUCUACACAGUUUGAAUAUAAUAGUUACUUCCAUAGAGAGCUGAAGGGGCAAAAUUCUUUUCUGGCUUUUAUGAGUAGAGAAGUUGAUGAUAUGGCCAAAGAAUUCCUUGCGCUAAAUUCUCAGUUUGCUCGUCUUGAAAAGCUAGUGGGCCAGAUUUCUGAUAAGCAAGCUACUUUAGUCAAUAAAAUGGCUGCUAAACCUGAAACUCGUGAUGAGAAUCACAAAUAUCUUAAAGUGCUUGGUGUGACUCCUAUUGAAUCUUUGUUUUCUUGCGCCAAACUAAUGAUUAUGGGGCUGGAUAUGAAUCCACUUUGGUUGAAAAGUGCCCCAAUGAUUCGGAGUCCGUCUAUCUUGAUGCUAAAAGCAUUAAAAGUGGAGUAUAAGAUGUUAAAACUUUGAGUAGUAAUGAAAUUGCUACUGUGGAUUUCAAGGAAUUCAAUUAUGAUAGUUGCUCCUUUAUUGAAUGCAUUUUUGAUGCAAUCCAUGUUAAACUCUCCACAUGCUUAUAGCCAAAACAAAGCCUUUACCGAUCAUAUCGUCGAAGCUAUGAUAAAAUCUCUUGAAGAGAAACUUGAAUUGGAAGUCUCUAUCCCUAGAAAGCUUCAUGAUGAGUGGGAACCUACCAUCAAAAUCAAAAUCAAAAACUAUGAGUGCAAUGCUUUGUGUGAUUUGGGUGCUAGUGUUUCUGCGAUUCCAAAGUCUUUAUGUGAUGUUCUGGGUUUUAAUGAGAUUGAAGAGUGUUCUCUUAAUUUGCAUCUUGCUGAUUCUACUUUCAAGAAACCCAUGGGAAGGAUCAAUGAUGUUCUUAUUAUUGCAAAUAGGAACUAUGUACCCAUGGAUUUCAUUGUGUUUGACAUUGAUUGCAAUCAUACAUGCCCCAUUAUUCUUGGUAGACCUUUCCUAAGGACUAUCGGUGCUAUCAUCGAUAUGAACGAAGGGAAUAUUAGAUUUCAAUUUCCUUUAAGGAAGGGCAUAGAACACUUUCCUAGAAAGAAAAUAAGAUUGCCUUAUGAAUCCAUGAUGAGGGCCACUUAUGGUUUGAGCACCAAAGACGACGAUACGUGAUUCUAUCGCUUCUAUGCCUAGCUAAGGGCGUUAAACAAUAGCGCUUGUUGGGAGGCAACCCAAUGAAUUUAUCUUUUUAUUUUUGUUUUCUUGUGUCCACACUUUCAUAAUUCUGUUGUGAUUGUGUUUCUUUUGUAUUUAUUUUCUGUUUGAGCCAAGCAAAGCCUUUAUGACUAGUCUUGGUAAUGGUUGUUUGAUCCUGCUGGAAAAAGAUAGAAACUUUUCGCUCACGAGAUGAUUUUUCAUUUUUAUUCGGAAAGAUCUUUUGAGCUGAUUCUUUUUGCUGCUGAUUGAUAUGCUUUUUUCCCAGACCAUCGUAAUUUUUCAGUUUUUUUGAGGUAUCAGAAGUAUACGAAGUAUACAGAUUGCUACAGACUGGUCAGUUUUUGACAGAUUCUGUUUUUGUUGAGUUGGUUGCUUGUUUUGAUGAAACUAUGGUUAGUAUAGGGGGGUACUAGCCAUGGAAAAGUGAGAAUACAGUAUGCUAUCAUCAAUAUAGAUGGAAUUCGAGUUUUCUACAGUACCAAAAGAAGUGGUAGUUUGUUUUCUUGUACUAAUGUUAUCACAAGUUUCUGUUUAAGUUUUGUGUUGUGAAGUUUUCAAGUUUUGGGUGAUUUUCUCAUGGACAAAGAGAUAAGGAGUGGAAAGAGCUCAAGCGUGGGGAUGCCCAAGGCAUCCCAAGCCAAAUUCAAGGACACCAAAAAUCCUAAGCUUGGGGAUGCCCUGGGAAGGCAUCCCCUCUUUCGUCUUCAAUCCAUUGGUAACAUUACUUGUAGCUAUAUUUUAUUCACCACAUGAUAUGUGUUUUGCUUGGAGCGUCUUGUAUCAUAGGAGUCUUUUCUUUUUGUUGUGUCACAAUCAUCCUUGCUGCACACCUUUUUGAGAGAGAGAGACAUGCACUCAUCGUGAUUUUGCUAGAAUGCUCAUAAUGCUUCACUUAUAUCUUUUGAGCUAGAUACUUUUGCUCUUAUGCUUCACAUAUAUCUUUAGAUCACGGUGGUGCGUGAUCUGGUAGUUGGCUUAUGCUAUGAAAGUAGUCCCAAAUAUGCUAGGUACACAAAGAGGAUGCAAAAACCUCCAUCUUCAUGUGCAUUGAGUAGAAAGAGAAGUUUCGAUUCCUCUCAAUUAGUUUUGAGACGUGGAUUCGGUAAUAUUGAGAGUUAUAUUAGUAGGGUGUUGUGAAUCUAGAAAUACUUGUGUUGAAGUUAGUGAUUCCCGUAGCAUGCACAUAUGGUGAACUCCUAUGUUAGGAAGUCGGAGCAUAAUCUAUACUACUAAUAAACAAGCGAACAUUUUCUUCUCUAAAGACACCCCACCUAAUGUACACACAACAACUUAAAGCAAUUAGAGCCUUAUGAUCAGAUCUACUCCCUCCGUUCCUAAAUAUAAGUCUUUGUAGAGAUUUCUCUAGUGGACUACAUACGAAUGUAUAUAGACAUACUUUAGAGUGUACAUUCAAUCAUUUUGCUCCGUAUGUAGACACAUAGUGAAAUCGCUUAAAAGACUUAUAUUNNNNNNNNNNNNNNNNNNNNNNNNNNNNNNNNNNNNNNNNNNNNNNNNNNNNNNNNNNNNNNNNNNNNNNNNNNNNNNNNNNNNNNNNNNNNNNNNNNNNNNNNNNNNNNNNNNNNNNNNNNNNNNNNNNNNNNNNNNAGGAACGGAGGGAGUAUUCAUUUUAAUCUAACCGUUAACAUAGCAACUAACCUCAUCGAAAGUACGUUUAGCACUUUUUAGAGGCGGACGAAAACUCUCUCAUCCGCCGAAUCCUUGCCGAAUUCUCACGAAAAGGAAAGCCCACAUCUCCCGUUAAAAAAAAGAGCCCACGCUUCGUCCUGUCCUGCCUCCAUCGUUCCCCACUCCCAUCCCUCCCUCCUCUCUCCUCCUCGCCGCCACCACAAGACGCCGCCUGAGUCCCUCUCCUCCCUCAAAUAGCGGCAGCGGCAGCGCGAGACGCAGCGGGCUCGGCCUUCUUCAGCGGUGUUGUUCUACUCCGGCCGCUCUAUCAUCCCUGCCGCCGCGCUCUCGCCCUUGCGCCACAGUGCACGCCGCUCCGUCUCCCGCUCCGACACGGCCGGGCCAGGAGCACCCGCCCCCGCUCGCAGCAUGUGGCCUUCCACCUCCAACGGCAAGAUCAAGAAUCCAUCGCCAUCGCCAUCGCCCUUGACCCCCGCGCCGUCCUCGGUACCCACCCUCGCCGACCACCUGACCAACGACGCCACAGACUGCGCGGACGCCGUUUCCGUGGCGCCGCCGUCGCUGUAGUCGCUCUCCCGCCAGCGCAGCUGCACUGAGCUCCCGCAAUUCGCCGACGCCGACGCCAAGGAGGGGAAGAUCGGCAGGUCGUCCGGGAAAAGCGCCGGCCACGCGUUCGGCCGCUCCAUGCGCUUCCUGCCGACGUCCAAGCCCGCGGCCGUCACGCUCACCCCGGGCUGCGUCGCGCCGUCGGACCUCCGCAGGCUCACAGCCGGCUACUCCCUGGACGCGCCCGUCGCCCGCACCUCUCGUGGACACCGCCGCCGCCGCCCUACCCAUGCCAUCCCCACUGCCCCACUGCUCCUCCUACNNNNNNNNNNNNNNNNNNNNNNNNNNNNNNNNNNNNNNNNNNNNNNNNNNNNNNNNNNNNNNNNNNNNNNNNNNNNNNNNNNNNNNNNNNNNNNNNNNNNNNNNNNNNNNNNNNNNNNNNNNNNNNNNCUACACGACUUCGCCACACACCUCUAGCCGUCGGCCGUGUAUCGCGGGACAUGGUCUGCCACUCCUCUACGGUCUCGCCUGAUAGCUCUGCCUCUCAGACAUGGGGCGGACGGAGGAGAGAUCGAUACAAGUCGCGAACGAUCUCAUGGAGUAGCUAGCUGGCUAGGCGGUGUCUACCUAGCCCCAGGAACACGUCGGCCUACAUCAAGGGGCAUGGGAGGCUUGACAUAAUCGUCUUCGUCUGCCAUGGAGACAAACAGAGUCGGAGCUUGCUGGGCGGCGGCUACAGCCUACAGGUUGAGAAUGAGCACUAAGAGAGAGGGGAAAGGAGGCAGGGAUAAUCACGAGGAGGUUCAUGUUGUCGGCAGGACCAGAGAAGGCAGGAGCACGAUGAAUCGACGACAGCGUCUUAUGGAUGGUGUCGGAGAAGAUGACGUUCGUGUGCUCUGUGCACGGCGUCACAACUAGGGUGCUAAACAGCGGGGCCAACCACGGCGUGCAGGCCGGAGCCAGGCAUAAUGCGUGCAUGAUGAUGUCGGCGUGUUGUGCAUUAGUGUUGGCCGGCAGAGGCGUGUGCAGCUGGCCAGCAUGUAUGAGGUGCGUGCAUGCGUCUUGCUUUGUUCAGGUACUGUCAAAUUUAGAAGAGGAAGAUAACUCGAGUUGUGCUGUCAAUUUCUGCAUGCACUGUUGAUGACUAUUGGUGAUUCAGAUUCAGCAUGGAUAGUGUUGUUUAGGACUGAAAUUUUAUCGUGGUUGAAUAAAUAGGCAUGCAUGGUUGAUUUUAGUUGCUAGAAGGAAGACCAUUGCUACAAAUUUUAUAAGUAGGAUGUCGUUUUUCACAGUUCUAUCAUGUUAUUUGUAUUGUAUAGUCAUAAUUCUAAGCUUAAUCUUGUUAGCUAUGUAGCAUUGCAGAUCAGGCUCUUUUUUCCUAGCAGAUCAAUACUUUUGGUCAGAUUUACCUUAGUUGAUAGUGAAUAUAGAAUACAUGGUGUGAAUAUAACAAAUAAUUAUGUGGUGGUGACCUAUCAAAACUAUUAAUAUGAAUUUUCCAGUUCCAGCUUUUACAAUUUUUAUUCUUUCCUUAGGAUCCACGGUUUGCUCUUCUAACACAUAAUACUAUAUAUGCACAUGCAGCCCCUUUCAGUUGAGCUAGAUCCUGGGUAUCCUUGAGAACAUUUUUUAUGGAAUCCAGGUAAGUUCAGCAUGAUAAUCAUUCCAUUUUGUUGAUUUACUCUUUUUCUGUGUUACUUGUCAUGACUUCGUUCUUGUUAAAUUUGCAACGCUCCCUAAAAACCAUUGCUAUUAUAUCUGAAGACGAUGCACUAUGCAAAUUUAAGCCAAAAAAGCUGGAUAAUGCAUUUGGCAUAUUUUAAUUGUGAAAGAGGGACAUCCUAUUAAUCUUUGGCAGGCCCUCCAAAACAUCUCCUUUAAUUAUUUGCUUCAACUGUUGGAGAUGUUCUCACCAGCACAGACCUAUAUGUUGUAAGUUCUUAUGAUGUUGAAUUUUCUUUUAUGGAUAUUUCUGUAUAAAAUGAUAGCAGCUUUGGGACUGUUCCCACGUGCUAAUGUUCGUUGACUCUAUGACAUACUGUCUUUGAGAACAAUUUGAUAAACCACAAUGUAUAUAGUGAAUAAGUAUUUUUACAAGAUAUAGUGAAUAAGUUGUGAAGUCAGUUUUUAUCUCUCAUAUCAUUAAUACUGUUUGAUACAAACAAAUGUUCGUUUGGAUGCAAUAUGUUCUGAAAACACCCUUGGCCAUUACUCAUUAGGUGUUGUCUCCAUUGCUAUUUUACUGUAUGGUGAAAUAAUUAUGGAUGUUUCUUGCAAAUACUUGGUCAUUAGGUGUCGUAGUUGUUAUUUAGUGUUUGGAAGUUACCAUGGAUACUAAAAUUAUCAUUAGGUGUUGUUUCCAUUCUUUAUUGAUCAUAUGAGGAAAUCCACCCGCCUUUUCUUAUUACUUAAAGUUUAUGAUGUUUUGGGCAUACCGAGCUUAAAGAAGAUAUUUCGCAAGUAAGUUUGUAUACUCUACAUACAUCUUGAUAUAUAUAUGAUAUAUUCACUGUUUUUAGGAUGGCACUGUGGACUUGGGCUUUUUGGAUAGGAAAAAGCCAAACCGACACCAUGUAUUCUUAUGAAUGUAUGAGUCAUCUCACUGUAGGCGGGGUGUGUUUCUCUUACGCAGAACUUACUUUAUUUUAUGCUUUGUCAGUGUAAUCUCCAAUUUCAUUCGCAUGUAUAUUAUUACUCUUUUCCUGGUCAUGCAGAUGCAUCAUGUCUAGCUUUUCAGCCUUGCAAAUUAGAGGUUUUGAUUGAUACAUGAAUAUUAUUGGAAUAUUUCGUGCAUUGAAAAUACUAUGGGUGGAAUUAACAAAGUGAAUGAAUGUAUGAAAGAAAUCAAGGAUUCUCUGUCAGCUUCUACUAAUUUCAACAAGGUAAUAUUUAAGAUUUAUUACAAUCAUGUAUUUAUUUUUUAUCCUAAUCACUUAUCGUCUAUACUAUUGCACACAAAAAAACUUGCAUGAUUAAAUGGGGGAGGAACUUCAAAAACUGGAGGGAGCAGUGUGUGUCUAUUAGAUUGAUUUGUAAAUCUUAAUGUCUACUUGCUCAUUUCAUAGGACUAAUUCACUGAUGCACGUUGAAUACUCUAACAUAUACAAGUGGAUUUUCACAUAUGAUUGUAAUAUUAGUCAAUACGUGCGUUGCACGUGCACGCUUACUAGUUGAUCUAUUGAUUGUCAUCCUUUGUGUUGAGGUCGGGAUCGCACAAUGGUUUACCCCUACCAACCCUUCCCCUCGGAGUAUGCAUUUAGCACUUUGUUUCGAUUACUAAUAAAAACUCUCGCAAUAAGUAUGUGAGUUCUUCAUGACUAAUGUGAGCCCAUGGUAUAGAAUCUGCUACGACGCUUUGCUUGGAACUGCACCAGCUUACUGCACCUCCAUUAAGAAUAAAUACGUAUCCGGUUUGCGACUUAGAGUCGUCCGGAUAUGUGUCAAAGCUUGCAUCGACGUAACCUUUUACGGCGAGCUCUUCGUCACCUCCAUACACGAGAAACAUCUCCUUAGUCCUUUUCAGGUACUCCAGGAUAUUCUUGACCGCUGUCCAGUGAUCCACUCCUGGAUUACUCUGGAACCUACCUGCCAUACUUAUGGCCAGGCUAACAUCCGGUCUAGUGCACAACAUCGCAUACAUGAUAGAACCUAUGGCUGAAGCAUAGGGGACGGAGCACAUAUGCUCUCUAUCUUCAUCAGUUGCUGGGCACUGAGUCUUACUCAAUCUUGUACCUUGUAAAACUGGCAAGAACCCUUUCUUGGACUGUUCCAUUUUGAACCUUUUCAAAACUUUAUCAAGGUAUGUGCUUUGUGAAAGUCCUAUCAGGCGUUUUGAUCUAUCCCUAUAGAUCUUAAUGCCUAGAAUGUAAGCAGCUUCUCCUAGGUCCUUCAUAGAGAAACUUUUAUUCAAGUAACCUUUUAUGCUCUCCAAAAGCUCUACGUUGUUUCCAAUCAGUAAUAUGUCAUCCACAUAUAAUAUUAGAAACGCCACAGAGCUCCCACUCACUUUCUUGUAAAUACAGGAUUCUCCAACCACUUGUAUAAACCCAAAUGCUUUGAUCACCUCAUCAAAGCGUUUGUUCCAACUCCGAGAUGCUUGCACCAGUCCAUAAAUGGAUCGCUGGAGCUUGCAUACCUUGUCAGCAUUUUUAGGAUCGACAAAACCUUCGGGUUGCAUCAUAUACAACUCUUCCUUAAGGAAACCGUUAAGGAACGCCGUUUUGACAUCCAUCUGCCAGAUUUCAUAAUCGAAAAAUGCAGCUAUUGCUAACAUGAUUCUGACGGACUUAAGCAUCGCUACGGGUGAGAAAGUCUCAUCGUAGUCAACUCCUGGAACUUGUGAAAAACCCUUUGCCACAAGUCGAGCUUUAUAAACGGUCACAUUACCGUCAGCGUCCGUCUUCUUCUUAAAGAUCCAUUUGUUCUGAAUAGCCUUGCUGCCCUCAGGUAGUAUCUCCAAAGUCCACACUUUGUUCUCAUACAUGGAUCCUAUCUCGGAUUUCAUGGCUUCUAGCCAUUUGUUGGAAUCUGGGCCCACCAUUGCUUCUUCAUAAUUUGCAGGUUCAUUGUUGUCUAACAACAUGAUUGAUAAGACGGGAUUACCGUACCACUCUGGAGCAGCGCGUGAUCUCGUCGACCUGCGUGGUUCAACAGAAACUUGAACUGGAGUUUCAUGAUCAUCAUCAUUAACUUCCUCCUCAACCGGCGUCGCAACGACAGAGGUUUCCCCUUGCCCUGCGCCACCAUCCACAGGGAUGAGAGGUUCGACAACCUCGUCAAGUUCUAUCUUCCUCCCACUCAAUUCUCUCGAGAGAAACUCCUUUUCGAGAAAAGCUCCGUUUUUAGCAACAAACACUUUGCCCUCGGAUUUGUGAUAGAAGGUGUACCCAACUGUUUCUUUUGGGUAACCUAUGAAGACGCACUUUUCCGCUUUGGGUUCCAGCUUUUCAGGCUGAAGCUUUUUGACAUAAGCAUCACAUCCCCAAACUUUAAGAAACGACAACUUUGGCCUUUUGCCAUACCACAGUUCGUAUGGUGUCGUCUCAACGGAUUUUGAUGGUGCCCUAUUUAAAGUGAAUGCAGCUGUUUCUAAUGCAUAACCCCAAAAUGAUAACGGCAAAUCAGUAAGAGACAUCAUAGAUCGCACCAUCUCUAACAAAGUACGAUUACGACGUUCGGACACACAAUUACGCUGUGGUGUUCCAGGCGGUGUUAACUGUGAAACAAUUCCACAUUGUCUUAAGUGAGCACCAAACUCGAAACUCAGAUAUUCACCCCCACGAUCAGACCGUAGGAACUUGAUCUUCUUGUUACGAUGAUUUUCCACUUCACUCUGAAAUUGCUUGAACUUUUCAAAUGUUUCAGACUUGUGCUUCAUCAAGUAGACAUAACCAUAUCUACUUAAAUCGUCAGUGAAGGUGAGAAAAUAACGAUAUCCGCCGCGUGCCUCUACGCUCAUUGGACCACACACAUCGGUAUGUAUGAUUUCCAACAAGUCACUUGCACGCUCCAUUGUUCCGGAGAACGGAGUCUUAGUCAUCUUGCCCAUGAGGCAUGGUUCGCACGUGUCAAGUGAAUCAAAGUCAAGUGACUCGAAAAGUCCAUCAGCAUGGAGUUUCUUCAUGCGCUUUACACCAAUAUGACCCAAGCGGCAGUGCCACAAAAAUAUGGCGCUAUCAUUGUUUACUCUAAUUCUUUUGGUCUCAAUGUUAUGUAUAUGCGUAUCGCUAUCAAGAUUCAAUAUGAACAAUCCUCUCACAUUCGGUGCAUGACCAUAAAAGAUGUUACUCAUAGAAAUAGAACAACCAUUAUUCUCAGACUUAAAAGAGUAACCGUCUCGCAAUAAAAAAGAUCCAGAUAUAAUGUUCAUGCUCAACGCAGGCACUAAAUAACAAUGAUUUAAGUUCAUCACUAAUCCCGAUGGUAGCUGAAGUGACACUGUGCCGACGGCGAUUGCAUCAACCUUGGAACCAUUUCCUACGCGCAUCGUCACUUCGUCUUUCGCCAGCCUUCGUCUAUUCCGUAGUUCCUGCUUCGAGUUGCAAAUGUGAGCAACAAAACCGGUAUCGAAUACCCAGGCACUACUACGAGAGCCGGUUAAGUACACAUCAAUAACAUGUAUAUCAAAUAUACUUGAUUUUCCUUUGCCCGCCUUCUUAUCUGCCAGAUACUUGGGGCAAUUGCGCUUCCAGUGACCCAUACCCUUGCAAUAGUAACACUCCGUUUCAGGCUUAGGUCCAGCUUUGGGUUUCUUCGGCAGAUUGGCAACAUGCUUGCCGCUCUUCUUCAAAUUGCCCUUCUUGCCUUUGCCGUUUCUCUUGAAACUAGUGGUCUUGCUCACCAUCAACACUUGAUGCUCUUUACAGAGUUCAGACUCUGCGACUUUCAGCAUCGCAAACAACUCGCCGGGAGACUUGUUCAUCCCUUGCAUGUUGUAGUUCAACACAAAGCCUUUAUAGCUUGGCGGCAGUGAUUGAAGGAUUCUGUCAGUGAUAGCUUCUUGCGGGAGUUCAAUCCCCAGCUCAGCUAGACGGUUUGAGUACCCAGACAUUUUGAGCACCUGUUCACUGACAGAUGAGUUUUCCUCCAUCUUGCAAGCAUAGAAUUUAUCGGAGGUCUCAUACCUCUCGAUCCGAGCGUUCUUCUGAAAGAUAAACUCCAACUCCUGGAACAUCUCAAAUACUCCAUGACGCUCAAAGCGACGUUGAAGUCCCGGUUCUAAGCCAUACAAGACUGCACAUUGAACUAUUGAGUAGUCCUCCUUACGUGCUAACCAAGCGUUCUUAACAUCCUGAUCAGCCGUAGCGGGUGGUUAAUCUCCUAGCGCAGCAUUAAGGACAUAAUCCUUCUUCCCAGCUUGUAAGAUUAGCUUAAGAUUACGAGCCCAGUCUACAAACUUGCUUCCAUCAUCUUUCAACUUAGCUUUCUCUAGGAACGUAUUAAAAUUCAGGAUGACUGUCGCGUGAGCCAUGAUCUACAACACAAAUAUAUUCAAAGUGGACUUAGACUAUGUUCAAGAUAAUUAGAGUUCAACUUAAUCAAAUUAUAUGCUAAACUCCCACUCAAAAAGUACAUCUCUCUAGUCAUUUGAGUAGUUCAUGAUCCACUUACACUAUCCCAAGUCCGAUCAUCACGUGAGUUGAGUAUAGUUUCAGUGGUAAGCAUCCCUAUGCUAAUCAUAUCAACUAUAUGAUUCAUGAUCGACCUUUCGGUCUCAUGUGUUCCGAGGCCAUGUCCGCACAUGCUAGGCUCGUCAAGCUUAACCCGAGUNGCAUGGGAAACAAAAAAUUUCCUACGCGCACGAAGACCUAUCAUGGUGAUGUCCAUCUACGAGAGGGGAUGAGUGAUCUACGUACCCUUGUAGAUCGUACAGCAGAAGCGUUAGUGAACGCGGUUGAUGUAGUGGAACGUCCUCACGUCCCUCGAUCCGCCCCGCGAACAAUCCCGUGAUCAGUCCCACGAUCUAGUACCGAACGGACGGCACCUCCGCGUUCAGCACACGUACAGCUCGACGAUGAUCUCAGCCUUCUUGAUCCAGCAAGAGAGACGGAGAGGUAGAAGAGUUCUCCGGCAGCGUUACGGUGCUCCGGAGGUUGGUGAUGAUCUCGUCUCGGCAGGGCUCCGCCCGAGCUCCGCAGAAACGCGAUCUAGAGGUAAAACCGUGGAGAUAUGUGGUCGGGCUGCCGUGGAAAAAGUUGUCUCAAAUCAGCCCUAAUACCUCAGUAUAUAUAGGAGGGAGGGGGAGGGAAGAGGCAGCCUCAAACCCUCAAGGUUUGGCCGAAAUUGGAGGUGGAGGAGUCCUACUCCAAUCCUACUUGGAGUAGGAUUCCACCUUCCCACUUGGAAACUCUUUCCACCUUGUGUUUUUUUCCUUCUCAAACCUUAUGGGCCUUAGUGGGAACUUAUUCCAUCCCACUAGGGGCUGGUUUAUCUCUUCCCAUAGCCCAUGAGACCCCUUGGGGCGUGACACCCCUCCCAAUGGUCCCCGGCACCCCUCCCAGCACUCCCGGUACACUACCGAUGAACCCAAAACUUUUCCGGUGACCAAAACAGGACUUCCUAUAUAUCAAUCUUUACCUCCGGACCAUUCCGGAGACUCCUCGUGACGUCCGUGGAUCUCAUCCGGGACUCCGAACAACAUUCGGUAACCAACCAUAUAACUCAAAUACGCAUAAAACAACGUCGAACCUUAAGUGUGCAGACCCUGCGGGUUCGAGAACUAUGUAGACAUGACCCGAGAGACUCCUCGGUCAAUAUCCAAUAGCGGGACCUGGAUGCCCAUAUUGGAUCCUACAUAUUCUACGAAGAUCUUAUCGUUUGAACCUCAGUGCCAAGGAUUCAUAUAAUUCCGUAUGUCAUUCCCUUUGUCCUUCGGUAUGUUACUUGCCCGAGAUUCGAUCGUCAGUAUCCGCAUACCUAUUUCAAUCUCGUUUACCGGCAAGUCUCUUUACUCGUUCCGUAAUACAAGAUCCCGCAACUUACACUAAGUUACAUUGCUUGCAAGGCUUGUGUGUGAUGUUGUAUUACCGAGUGGGCCCCCGAGAUACCUCUCCGUCACACGGAGUGACUAAUCCCAGUCUUGAUCCAUACUAACUCAACUAACACCUUCGGAGAUACCUAUAGAGCAUCUUUAUAGUCACCCAGUUACGUUGCGACGUUUGAUACACACAAAGCAUUCCUCCGGUGCCAGUGAGUUAUAUGAUCUCAUGGUCAUAGGAAUAAAUACUUGACACGCAGNNNNNNNNNNNNNNNNNNNNNNNNNNNNNNNNNNNNNNNNNNNNNNNNNNNNNNNNNNNNNNNNNNNNNNNNNNNNNNNNNNNNNNNNNNNNNNNNNNNNNNNNNNNNNNNNNNNNNNNNNNNNNNNNNNNNNNNNNNNNNNNNNNNNNNNNNNNNNNNNNNNNNNNNNNNNNNNNNNNNNNNNUGGGUCUAGUCCAUCACGUGAUUCUCCCAAUGACGUGAUCCAGUUAUCAAGCAACAACACCUUGUUCAUAAUCAGAAGACACUGACUAUCAUUGAUCAACUGGCUAGCCAACUAGAGGCAUGCUAGGGACGGUGUUUUGUCUAUGUAUCCACACAUGUAAAUGAGUCUUCAUUCAAUACAAUUAUAGCAUGGAUAAUAAACUAUUAUCUUGAUACAGGAAUUAUAAUAAUAACUAUAAAUUUAUUAUUGCCUCUAGGGCAUAAUUCCAAUAGCAUUUUCUAUGGAGUCAUCAUUAUUGUGAUCUUUGAGAUGUGAGUAAAUAAAAGUGUGAUGAUCAUCAUUAUUAGAGCAUUGUCGCAUGUGAGGAAAUAAAAAAAAGAGGCCAAAGAGCCCAAAAACAAAAAAAGGGGCGAAAAGAAAAGAAAAGAAAAAAAGAGGCCUAAGAGCCCAAAUGAAAAAAAGAGAGAAAAAGAGAGAAGGGACAAUGCUACUAUCUUUUUCCACACUUGUGAUUCACGUUAGCACCAUGUUCUUCAUGAUUGAGAGCUUCUUGCUUUGUCACUACCUUAUGCUAGUGGGAAUCUUCAUUUUAUAACUUGGCUUGUAUAUUCCAAUGAUGGGCUUCCUCAAAAUUGCCCAAGGUCUUCAUGAGCAAGCAAGUUGGAUGCACACCCACUAGUUUUCCUUUUGAGCUUUCACAUACUUAUAGCUCUAGUGCAUCCUUUGUAUGGCAAUCCCUACUCAUUCACAUUGAUAUCUAUUAAUGGGCAUUUCCAUAGCCUAUUGAUACGCCGAGUCAGUGUGACCAUCUCCUCCUUUUUGUCUCACAACCACCACCACACUCUAUUCCACCUAUAGUGCUAUAUCCAUGGCUCGCGCACAUGUAUUGUGUGAUAGCUAUAAAAAGUUUGAGAAAGUAAGAGUGUGAAAACAAUUACUUGGCCAAUUCCGGGGUUGUGCAUGAUUUAUAUUAGUUGUAUGAGGAUGAUGGAGCAUAGCCAGACUAUAUGAUUUCGUAGGGAUAACUUUCUUUGGCCUUGUUAUUUUGAAAGUUCAUGAUUACUUUGCUAGUUUGCUUGAAGUAUUACUGUUUUCAUGUCAAUAGCAAACUAUUGUUUUGAAUCUUAUGGAUCUGAACAUUCAUGUCACGUGAAAGAAGUUGCAAAGGACAACUUUGCUAGGUAGCAUUCCACAUCAGAAAUUCAUUCUUUAUCACUUCUCUACUCGAGGACGAGCAGGAGUUAAGCUUGGGGAUGCUUGAUACGUCUCCAACGUAUCAAUAAUUUUUGAUGGUUUCAUGCUAUUAUCUUGUCAAACUUUGGAUGUUUUGCUUGCCUUUUAUAUAUUUUUGGGACUAACUUAUUAACUCAGUGCCAAGUGCCAGUUCCUGUUUUUUCCAUGUUUUUGACCCCUUUCAGAGAAGAUUUUGAAACGGAGUCCAAACGGAAGAAAAUCCCAGAAAAUAUUUUUUUUGGAACGGAAGAAGAUCGGGGAGCUUGGGAGCCAAGGCAGGGGAGCCCGAGGGGCCCCACAAGCCCCAACCCCGCGGCCAGGGGGGCGCCAUCCAGGCUUGUGGGCCCCCUGGACGCCCUUUGCCCUAGGACUUUCGCCUAUAUAUUCCCAUAAAUUCCAGAAAAAAUCAGGAGAUCNNNNNNNNNNNNNNNNNNNNNNNNNNNNNNNNNNNNNNNNNNNNNNNNNNNNNNNNNNNNNNNNNNNNNNNNNNNNNNNNNNNNNNNNNNNNNNNNNNNNCUCGUAGAUGGACAUCACCAUGAUAGGUCUUCGUGCGCGUAGGAAAGUUUUUGUUUCCCAUGCGAUGUUCCCCAACAGUGGCAUCAUGAGCUAGGUUCAUGCGUAGAUGUCUUCUCGAGUAGAACACAAAAGUUUUUGUGGGCGGUGAUGUGCGUUUUGCUGCCCUCCUUAGUCUUUUCUUGAUUCCGCGGUAUUGUUGGAUUGAAGCGGCUUGGACCGACAUUACUCGUACGCUUACGAGAGACUGGUUUCAUCGUUACGAGUAACCCCCUUUGCUCAAAGAUGACUCGCAAGUGACGGUUUCUCCAACUUUAGUUGAAUCGGAAUUGACCGAGGAGGUCCUUGGAUGAGGUUAAAUAGCAACUCAUAUAUCUCCGUUGUGGUGUUUGCGUAAGUAAGAUGCGAUCCUACUAGAUACCCAUGGUCACCACGUAAAACAUGCAACAACAAAAUUAGACGACGUCUAACUUGUUUUUGCAGGGUAUGCUUGUGAUGUGAUAUGGCCAACGAUGUGAUGUGAUAUAUUGGAUGUAUGAGAUGAUCAUGUUGUAAUAGAAAUAUCGACUUGCACGUCGAUGGUACGGCAACCGGCAGGAGCCAUAGGGUUGUCUUUAUACUAACGUUUGUGCUUGCAGAUGCGUUUACUAUUUUGCUAGGAUGUAGCUUUAGUAGUAAUAGCAUAAGUAGCACGACAACCCCGAUGGCAACACGUUGAUGGAUGAUCAUGGUGUAGCGCCGGUGACAAGAAGAUCGUGCCGGUGCUUUGGUGAUGGAGAUCAAGAAGCACGUGAUGAUGGCCAUAUCAUGUCACUUAUGAAUUGCAUGUGAUGUUAAUCCUUUUAUGCACCUUAUUUUGCUUAGAACGACGGUAGCAUUAUGAGGUGAUCUCUCACUAAAAUUUCAAGACGAAAUUGUGUUCUCCCCGACUGUGCACCGUUGCUACAGUUCGUCGUUUCGAGACACCACGUGAUGAUCGGGUGUGAUAGACUCAACGUUCACAUACAACGGGUGCAAAACAGUUGCGCACGCGGAACACUCGGGUUAAGCUUGANNNNNNNNNNNNNNNNNNNNNNNNNNNNNNNNNNNNNNNNNNNNNNNNNNNNNNNNNNNNNNNNNNNNNNNNNNNNNNNNNNNNNNNNNNNNNNNNNNNNCGCAUGGGAAACAAAAAUUUUCCUACGCGCACGAAGACCUAUCAUGGUGAUGUCCAUCUACGAGAGGGGAUGAGUGAUCUACGUACCCUUGUAGACCGUACAGCAGAAGCGUUAGAGAACGCGGUUGAUGUAGUGGAACGUCCUCACGUCCCUCGAUCCGCCCCGCGAACAAUCCCGCGAUCAGUCCCACGAUCUAGUACCGAACGGACGGCACCUCCGCGUUCAGCACACGUACAGCUCGACGAUGAUCUCGGCCUUCUUGAUCCAGCAAGAGAGACGGAGAGGUAGAAGAGUUCUCCGGCAGCGUGAUGGUGCUCCGGAGGUUGGCGAUGACCUUGUCUCAGCAGGGCUCCGCCCGAGCUCCGCAGAAACGCGAUCUAGAGGAAAAACCGUGGAGGUAUGUGGUCGGGCUGCCGUGGAAAAGUCGUCUCAAAUCAGCCCUAAAACCUCCGUAUAUAUAGGUGGGAGGGAGGGGGCCUUGCCUUGGGGUCCAAGUACCCUCAAGGGGGUCGGCCGAGCCAAGGGGGAGGACUCUCCCCCCCAAACCGAGUUGGACUAGGUUUGGUGGGAGGGAGUCCCCCUCCCUUCCCACCUCCUCCCUUUUUUUUCUUUUUCCUUUGAUUUCUUAUCCUUGGCGCAUAGACCACUUGUGGGCUGUCCCACCAGCCCACUAAGGGCUGGUGUGUCUCCCCAAAGGCCUAUGGGCUUCCNNNNNNNNNNNNNNNNNNNNNNNNNNNNNNNNNNNNNNNNNNNNNNNNNNNNNNNNNNNNNNNNNNNNNNNNNNNNNNNNNNNNNNNNNNNNNNNNNNNNACGACUUCGCCACACACCUCUAGCCGUCGGCCGUGUAUCGCGGGACAUGGUCUGCCACUCCUCUACGGUCUCGCCUGAUAGCUCUGCCUCUCAGACAUGGGGCGGACGGAGGAGAGAUCGAUACAAGUCGCGAACGAUCUCAUGGAGUAGCUAGCUGGCUAGGCGGUGUCUACCUAGCCCCAGGAACACGUCGGCCUACAUCAAGGGGCAUGGGAGGCUUGACAUAAUCGUCUUCGUCUGCCAUGGAGACAAACAGAGUCGGAGCUUGCUGGGCGGCGGCUACAGCCUACAGGUUGAGAAUGAGCACUAAGAGAGAGGGGAAAGGAGGCAGGGAUAAUCACGAGGAGGUUCAUGUUGUCGGCAGGACCAGAGAAGGCAGGAGCACGAUGAAUCGACGACAGCGUCUUAUGGAUGGUGUCGGAGAAGAUGACGUUCGUGUGCUCUGUGCACGGCGUCACAACUAGGGUGCUAAACAGCGGGGCCAACCACGGCGUGCAGGCCGGAGCCAGGCAUAAUGCGUGCAUGAUGAUGUCGGCGUGUUGUGCAUUAGUGUUGGCCGGCAGAGGCGUGUGCAGCUGGCCAGCAUGUAUGAGGUGCGUGCAUGCGUCUUGCUUUGUUCAGGUACUGUCAAAUUUAGAAGAGGAAGAUAACUCGAGUUGUGCUGUCAAUUUCUGCAUGCACUGUUGAUGACUAUUGGUGAUUCAGAUUCAGCAUGGAUAGUGUUGUUUAGGACUGAAAUUUUAUCGUGGUUGAAUAAAUAGGCAUGCAUGGUUGAUUUUAGUUGCUAGAAGGAAGACCAUUGCUACAAAUUUUAUAAGUAGGAUGUCGUUUUUCACAGUUCUAUCAUGUUAUUUGUAUUGUAUAGUCAUAAUUCUAAGCUUAAUCUUGUUAGCUAUGUAGCAUUGCAGAUCAGGCUCUUUUUUCCUAGCAGAUCAAUACUUUUGGUCAGAUUUACCUUAGUUGAUAGUGAAUAUAGAAUACAUGGUGUGAAUAUAACAAAUAAUUAUGUGGUGGUGACCUAUCAAAACUAUUAAUAUGAAUUUUCCAGUUCCAGCUUUUACAAUUUUUAUUCUUUCCUUAGGAUCCACGGUUUGCUCUUCUAACACAUAAUACUAUAUAUGCACAUGCAGCCCCUUUCAGUUGAGCUAGAUCCUGGGUAUCCUUGAGAACAUUUUUUAUGGAAUCCAGGUAAGUUCAGCAUGAUAAUCAUUCCAUUUUGUUGAUUUACUCUUUUUCUGUGUUACUUGUCAUGACUUCGUUCUUGUUAAAUUUGCAACGCUCCCUAAAAACCAUUGCUAUUAUAUCUGAAGACGAUGCACUAUGCAAAUUUAAGCCAAAAAAGCUGGAUAAUGCAUUUGGCAUAUUUUAAUUGUGAAAGAGGGACAUCCUAUUAAUCUUUGGCAGGCCCUCCAAAACAUCUCCUUUAAUUAUUUGCUUCAACUGUUGGAGAUGUUCUCACCAGCACAGACCUAUAUGUUGUAAGUUCUUAUGAUGUUGAAUUUUCUUUUAUGGAUAUUUCUGUAUAAAAUGAUAGCAGCUUUGGGACUGUUCCCACGUGCUAAUGUUCGUUGACUCUAUGACAUACUGUCUUUGAGAACAAUUUGAUAAACCACAAUGUAUAUAGUGAAUAAGUAUUUUUACAAGAUAUAGUGAAUAAGUUGUGAAGUCAGUUUUUAUCUCUCAUAUCAUUAAUACUGUUUGAUACAAACAAAUGUUCGUUUGGAUGCAAUAUGUUCUGAAAACACCCUUGGCCAUUACUCAUUAGGUGUUGUCUCCAUUGCUAUUUUACUGUAUGGUGAAAUAAUUAUGGAUGUUUCUUGCAAAUACUUGGUCAUUAGGUGUCGUAGUUGUUAUUUAGUGUUUGGAAGUUACCAUGGAUACUAAAAUUAUCAUUAGGUGUUGUUUCCAUUCUUUAUUGAUCAUAUGAGGAAAUCCACCCGCCUUUUCUUAUUACUUAAAGUUUAUGAUGUUUUGGGCAUACCGAGCUUAAAGAAGAUAUUUCGCAAGUAAGUUUGUAUACUCUACAUACAUCUUGAUAUAUAUAUGAUAUAUUCACUGUUUUUAGGAUGGCACUGUGGACUUGGGCUUUUUGGAUAGGAAAAAGCCAAACCGACACCAUGUAUUCUUAUGAAUGUAUGAGUCAUCUCACUGUAGGCGGGGUGUGUUUCUCUUACGCAGAACUUACUUUAUUUUAUGCUUUGUCAGUGUAAUCUCCAAUUUCAUUCGCAUGUAUAUUAUUACUCUUUUCCUGGUCAUGCAGAUGCAUCAUGUCUAGCUUUUCAGCCUUGCAAAUUAGAGGUUUUGAUUGAUACAUGAAUAUUAUUGGAAUAUUUCGUGCAUUGAAAAUACUAUGGGUGGAAUUAACAAAGUGAAUGAAUGUAUGAAAGAAAUCAAGGAUUCUCUGUCAGCUUCUACUAAUUUCAACAAGGUAAUAUUUAAGAUUUAUUACAAUCAUGUAUUUAUUUUUUAUCCUAAUCACUUAUCGUCUAUACUAUUGCACACAAAAAAACUUGCAUGAUUAAAUGGGGGAGGAACUUCAAAAACUGGAGGGAGCAGUGUGUGUCUAUUAGAUUGAUUUGUAAAUCUUAAUGUCUACUUGCUCAUUUCAUAGGACUAAUUCACUGAUGCACGUUGAAUACUCUAACAUAUACAAGUGGAUUUUCACAUAUGAUUGUAAUAUUAGUCAAUACGUGCGUUGCACGUGCACGCUUACUAGUUGAUCUAUUGAUUGUCAUCCUUUGUGUUGAGGUCGGGAUCGCACAAUGGUUUACCCCUACCAACCCUUCCCCUCGGAGUAUGCAUUUAGCACUUUGUUUCGAUUACUAAUAAAAACUCUCGCAAUAAGUAUGUGAGUUCUUCAUGACUAAUGUGAGCCCAUGGUAUAGAAUCUGCUACGACGCUUUGCUUGGAACUGCACCAGCUUACUGCACCUCCAUUAAGAAUAAAUACGUAUCCGGUUUGCGACUUAGAGUCGUCCGGAUAUGUGUCAAAGCUUGCAUCGACGUAACCUUUUACGGCGAGCUCUUCGUCACCUCCAUACACGAGAAACAUCUCCUUAGUCCUUUUCAGGUACUCCAGGAUAUUCUUGACCGCUGUCCAGUGAUCCACUCCUGGAUUACUCUGGAACCUACCUGCCAUACUUAUGUCCAGGCUAACAUCCGGUCUAGUGCACAUCAUCGCAUACAUGAUAGAACCUAUGGCUGAAGCAUAGGGGACGGAGCGCAUAUGCUCUCUAUCUUCAUCAGUUGCUGGGCACUGAGUCUUACUCAAUCUCGUAUCUUGUAAAACUGGCAAGAACCCUUUCUUGGACUGUUCCAUUUUGAACCUCUUCAAAACUUUAUCAAGGUAUGUGCUUUGUGAAAGUCCUAUCAGGCGUUUUGAUCUAUCCCUAUAGAUCUUAAUGCCUAGAAUGUAAGCAGCUUCUCCUAGGUCCUUCAUAGAGAAACUUUUAUUCAAGUAACCUUUUAUGCUCUCCAAAAACUCUACGUUGUUUCCAAUCAGUAAUAUGUCAUCCACAUAUAAUAUUAGAAACGCCACAGAGCUCCCACUCACUUUCUUGUAAAUACAAGAUUAUCCAACUAGUAUAAACCCAAAUGCUUUGAUCACCUCAUCAAAGCAUUUGUUCCAACUCCGAGAUGCUUGCACCAGUCCAUAAAUGGAUCGCUGGAGCUUGCACACUUUGUUAGCAUUCUUAGGAUCGACAAAACCUUCGGGUUGUAUCAUAUACAACUCUUCCUUAAGGAAACCGUUAAGGAACGCUGUUUUGACAUCCAUCUGCCAGAUUUCAUAAUCGAAAAAUGCAGCUAUUGCUAACAUGAUUCUGACGGACUUAAGCAUCGCUACGGGUGAGAAAGUCUGAUCGUAGUCAACUCCUGGAACUUGUGAAAAACCCUUUGCCACAAGUCGAGCUUUAUAAACGGUCACAUUGCCGUCAGCGUCCGUCUUCUUCUUAAAGAUCCAUUUGUUCUGAAUAGCCUUGCGGCCCUCAGGUAGUAUCUCCAAAGUCCACACUUUGUUCUCAUACAUGGAUCCUAUCUCGGACUUCAUGGCUUCUAGCCAUUUGUUGGAAUCUGGGCCCACCAUUGCUUCUUCAUAAUUUGCAGGUUCAUUAUUGUCUAACAACAUGAUUGAUAAGACGGGAUUACCGUACCACUCUGGAGCAGCACGUGAUCUCGUCGACCUGCGUGGUUCAAUAGAAACUUGAACUGGAGUUUCAUGAUCAUCAUCAUUAACUUCCUCCUCAACCGGCGUCGCAACGACAGAGGUUUCCCCUUGCCCUGCGCCACCAUCCACAGGGAUGAGAGGUUCGACAACCUCGUCAAGUUCUAUCUUCCUCCCACUCAAUUCUCUCGAGAGAAACUCCUUUUCGAGAAAAGCUCCGUUUUUAGCAACAAACACUUUGCCCUCGGAUUUGUGAUAGAAGGUGUACCCAACUGUUUCUUUUGGGUAACCUAUGAAGACGCACUUUUCCGCUUUGGGUUCCAGCNNNNNNNNNNAUCGCAACGACAGAGGUUUCCCCUUGCCCCACGCCACCAUCCAGAGGGAUGAGAGGUUCGACAACCUCGUCAAGUUCUAUCUUCCUCCCACUCAAUUCUCUUGAGAGAAACUCCUUCUCGAGAAAAGCUCCGUUCUUUGCAACAAAUACUUUGCCCUCGGAUUUGAGAUAGAAGGUGUACCCAACUGUCUCUUUUGGGUAACCUAUGAAGACGCACUUUUCCGCUUUGGGUUCCAGCUUUUCAGGCUGAAGCUUUUUGACAUAAGCAUCACAUCCCCAAACUUUAAGAAACGACAACUUUGGCCUUUUGCCAUACCACAGUUCGUAUGGUGUCGUCUCAACGGAUUUUGAUGGUGCCCUAUUUAAAGUGAAUGCAGCUGUUUCUAAUGCAUAACCCCAAAAUGAUAACGGCAAAUCAGUANNNNNNNNNNNNNNNNNNNNNNNNNNNNNNNNNNNNNNNNNNNNNNNNNNNNNNNNNNNNNNNNNNNNNNNNNNNNNNNNNNNNNNNNNNNNNNNNNNNNCGGGAUUGGUGUUAAACCUAAAUAAUUGUUAUUUGGUGCUUGCGUUAAGCAUGAACAUGAUUGGAUCGUGUUUAUUGCAAUACGAUUAUUCAUUUAAAGAGAAUAAUGGUUACUCUAUUUUCUUGAAUAAUCACCUUCAAUGGUUUAUUGAAUCUCGAUCGUAGUGUUACACAUGUUCAUAAUAUUGGUGCCAAAAGGAUACAAGUUAAUGAUGAUAGUACCACUUACUUGUGGCACUGCCGCUUGAGUCAUGUUAGUAUAAAUUGCAUGAAGAGGCUCCAUGCUGAUGGAUCUUUGUACUCACCUGAUUUCGAAUCACUAGUGACAUGCAAACCAUACCACAUGAGAAAGACCUUGUUUUCAUUGAGAUGAAAUAAGAUAGUAACUUGUUGGAAGUGAUACAUUUUGAUGUAUGCAGUCCAAUGGGUACUGAAGCACGCAGUGGAUAUCAUUAUGUUCUUACUUCACUGACGAUUUGAGUAGAUACAGGAGUAUUUACUUAAUGAAUCACAAGUCUGAAAUGUUGAAAAGUUCAAAUCCGUUUCAGAGUGAAGUUCGUCGUAACAAGAGGAUAAACUGUCUACGAUAUGAUCAUAGAAAUGAAUAUCUGAGUUACGAGUUUNNNNNNNNNNNNNNNNNNNNNNNNNNNNNNNNNNNNNNNNNNNNNNNNNNNNNNNNNNNNNNNNNNNNNNNNNNNNNNNNNNNNNNNNNNNNNNNNNNNNNNNNNNNNNNNNNNNNNNNNNNNNNNNNNNNNNNNNNNNNNNNNNNNNNNNNNNNNNNNNNNNNNNNNNNGUCAUAGCCACGCACUAUUUGGUAUGGUGCAUACUAUGAUAUCUUUUAUCGAAUUACCACUAUCGUUUAUGGGUUAUGCAUUAGAGACAACCGNNNNNNNNNNNNNNNNNNNNNNNNNNNNNNNNNNNNNNNNNNNNNNNNNNNNNNNNNNNNNNNNNNNNNNNNNNNNNNNNNNNNNNNNNNNNNNNNNNNNUCGCUACCCCUUCUGUCACUGGGUGAGGUCACCGCACGGUAUGAACCCCAAAUCAAGCACUUCUCUCAUUGCAAGAAUCAUAGAUCUAGUUGGCCAAACAAAACCCACAACCCGAAGAGAAUUACAAGGAUAUGAAAUCAUGCAUAAGAGAGAUCAGAAGAAACUCAAAUAAGAUUCAUAGACAAUUUGAUCAUAAAUCCACAAUUCAUCGGAUCUCAACGAACACACCGCAAAAGAACAUUACAUCGGAUAGAUCUCCAUGAAGAUCAUGGAGAAGUUUGUAUUGANNNNNNNNNNNCAUGGUGAACUACUCACGCAUCAUCGGAGAGGUCAUGGUGUUGAUGAAGAAGCCCUCCGUAUCUGAAUCCCCCCUCCGGCAGGGCACUAGAACAUGCCCCAGAUGGGAUCUUCCGGAGACAGAAGCUUGCGGCGUCGGAAAAGUACUUUCGAUGAUCUCCUGAUUUUUUCUGGAAUUUAUGGGAAUAUAUAGUUGAAAUACCUAGGGCAGAGGUGGCCCAGGGAGCCCACAAGCCUGGGAGGCGCCCCCCUGGUCGUGGCUAGGGGGCUUGUGGGGUCCCUGGUGGCCCCCUGCCCUAGUUCUCACGCUCCCCGAUCUUCUUCUGUUUCAGAAAAAAUCAUUUUGGAAGUUUCGUUCCGUUUGGACUCCGUUUAAAAUCCUCCUCUGAAAAGGGUCAAAACACGGAAAAAACAAGAACUCGCACUUGGCACUGAGUUAAUAAGUUAGUCCCAGAAAAUAUAUAAAAGGCAUACAAAACAUCCAAAGUUUGACAAGAUAAUAGCAUGAAAUCAUCAAAAAUUAUAGAUACGUUGGAGACGUAUCAUUGUAUCACAUACAACCUUUCCUCAAGGAAACCGUCGAGGAGGCAAUGUUGUGACAUCCUAUGUACAAUAUUUCACAAACAAUGCAGCAAUUGCUAACAUAUUCCAACAGAUUUUUAGCAUCGCAUGUCUUCCCUUUAAAGAUCCAUAUUUACUUAACAGUCCUACGACCAUCAAGUAGUUCUUCCAAAGUCUACACUUUGUUUUCAUACAUGGAUCCUCUCUCGGAUUUCAUGGCCUCCAGCAAUUUGUCGGAUUUCAUGGCCUCCAGUAAUUUGUCGGAUUUCAUGGCCUCCAGCAAUUUGUCGGACCAUCGCUUCUUCGUAGCUCGUAGGUUCAUUGUUGUUCAACAACAUGACCUCCAAGACAAGAUUACCAUACUACUUUAUAGUAGUACGCGACCUUGUCAACCUACGAGGUUUGUAGUAACUUGAUUCGAAGCUCAAUGAUCACCAUCAUCNNNNNNNNNNUUUCCACUUCAAUUGGUGUAGGCGCCACAGGAACAACUUCAUGCGCCCUGCUACACACUGGUUGAAGUGAUGGUUCACUAACCUCAUCAAGUUCCACCACCCUCCCACUCAAUUCUUUCGAGAGAAACCUUUCCUCGAGAAAGGACCCAUUUCUAGAAACAAACACUUCGCUUCCGGAUCUGAGAUAGGAGAUGUACCCAACUUUUUUGGAUAUCCUAUGAAGAUGCAUUUAUCCGCUUUGGGUUCGAGCUUAUUAGACUGAAACUUUUUCACAUAAGCGUCGCAGCCCCAAACUUUCAAGAAACGACAACUUAGGUUUCUCCAAACCAUAGUUCAUAUUGUGUCAUCUCAACGGACAUACGCAGUGCCCUAUUUAAAGUGAAUGCGGUUGUAUCUAAUGCAUAACCCAUAAACGAUAGUGGUAAUUCGAUAAGAGACAUCAUAGUAUGCGCUAUAUCCAAUAGGGCGCGGCUAUGACGUUCGUACACACCAUCACACUAUGGUGUUCUUAGGUGGCAUGAAUUGCGAAACAAUUUCCACAUUGUCUUAACCAUGUACCAAAACUCACAACUCAGAUAUUCAUCUCUAUGAUCAUAUCAUAGACAAUUUAUCCUCUUGUCAUGAUGAUCUUCACUCUGAAAUAGCUUUGAACUUUUCAAUAUUUUAGACUUGUGAUUCAUCAAGUAAAUACUCAUGUGUCUACUCAAAUCAUCAGUGAAGUAAGAACAUAACGAUAUCCACUGCGUGCCUCUCAUUGGACUGCACACAUAAAAAAUGUAUUACUUCCAACAAGUUACUUUCUUGUUCCAUGUGGUAUGAUUUGCAUGUCUCAAGUGAUUCAAAAUUUANNNNNNNNNNCCAAACGAUCCAUCUGCAUGGAGUUUUUUCAUGCGUUUUACACCAACAUGACUCAAGUGGCAGUGCCACAAGUAAGUGGUACUAUCAUUAUUACUUUGUAUCUUUUGGCACCAAUAUUAUGAACAUGUGUAACACUACGAUCGAGAUUCAAUAAACCAUUAAGGUAAUUAUUCAAGCAAAUAGAAUAACUAUUAUUCUCUUUAAAUGAAUAAUCAUAUUGCAAUAAAUAUGAUCCAGUCAUGUUCAUGCUCAACGCAAACACCAAAUAACAAUUAUUUAGGUUUAAUACCAAUCCCAAUGGCACAGGGAGCGUGCGAUGUUUGAUCACAUCAACCUUGGAGACACUUCCAACACAUAUCAUCACCUCGUCUUUAGCUAGUCUCCGUUUAUUCCGUAGUUUUUAUUUCGAGUUUCUAAUCACUUAGCAAUCGAACCAGUAUCUUAUACCCACGUGCUACUAGGAGUACUAGUAAAGUACAGAUCAAUAUCAUGUAUAUCAAAUAUACUUCUGUUGACUUCGCCAGCCUUCUCAUCUACCAAGUAUCUAGGGUAGCUCUGCCUCAGUGACCGUUCCCCUCAUAACAGAACCACUUAGUCUAGGGUUUGGGUUCAAUCUUGGGUUUCUUCAUUAGAGCAGCAACUGGUUUGUCGUUUCAUGAAGUAUCCCUUCUAGCCCUUGCCCUUCUUGAAACUAGUGGUUUUACUAACCAUCAGCAAUUGAUGCUCCUUCUUGAUUUCUACUUUUGCAGUGUCAAACAUUCUGAAUCUCUCAAGGAUCAUCAUAUCUAUCCUUCAUAUGUUAUAGUUCAUCACGAAGCUCUAGCAGCUUAGUGGCGGUGACUUUGGAGAACCAUCACUAUCUCAUCUGGAAGAUUAACUCCCAUUUGAUUCAAGCGAUUGUUGUACUCAGACAAUCUGAGAACAUGCUCAACAAUUGAGAUUUUCUCCUUUACUUUGUAGACAAAUAAUCUUGUCGGAGGUCUCAUACCUCUCAACAAGGCCACGAGCAUGAAAUCUCAAUUUCAUCUCUUAGAACAUCUCUUAUGUUCCGUGACAUUUCAAAACGUCUUCGGCGCAUUGCUUCUAAGCCAUUAAGUAUUACGCACUGAACUAUCACGUAGUCAUAAAAAAUGUGUAUGUUAGAUGUUUGCAACAUCCAUAGACGACACUCGAGGUGCAGCACACCGAGUGGUGCAUUAAGGACAUAAGCCUUCUGCGCGGCAAUGAGGACAAUCCUCAGUUUUACGGACUCAGUCCGCAAAUUUGCUACUAUCAUCUUUCAACUAAAUUUUAUCUAGGAACAUAUAAAAAACAGUAGAGCUAUAGCGCAAGCUACAUCAUAAUUAACAAAGACCUUUUGACUAAUUUCAUGAUAAUUAGAGUUUAACUAAUCAAAUUACUUAAUAAAAUCCCACUCAAAAAGUACAUCUCUCUAGUCAUUUGAGUGGUACAUGAUCCAAAUUCACUAACUCAAGUCUGAUCAUCACGUGAGUUGAGAAUAGUUUUAGUGGUAAGCAUCUCUAUGCUAAUCAUAUCAACUAUAAUAUUCAUGCUCGACCUUUUGGUCUCAUGUGUUCUGAUGCCAUGUCUGCACAUGCUAGGCUCAUCAAGUUUAACCCGAGUGUUCCGCGUGUGCAACUGUUUUGCACCCGUUGGAUGUGAGUGUUCAGUCUAUCACACCCAAUCAUCACGUGGUGUCUCGAAAUGACGAACUGUCGCAACGGUGCACAGUCAGGUAAAACACAAUUUCAUAUUGAAAUUUUAGUGAGAGAUCACCUUAUAAUCUACCGUCGUUCUAAGCAAAAUAAGGUGCAUUAAAGGAUUAACAUAACAUGCAAUUCAUAAGCGACAUGAUAUGGACAUCAUCUUGUGCUUCUUGAUCUCCAUCACCAAAGCGCCGGCAUGAUCUUCUUGUCACCGGCGCCACACCAUGAUCUCCAUCAACGUGUCGCCCUCGAGGUUUUCGUGCUAUCUAUGCUAUUACUACUAAAGCUACGACCUAGCAAUAUAGUAAACGCAUCUGCAAACACAAACGUUAGUUUAUAGACAACCCUAUGGCUCCUGCCGAUUGUCGUAGCAUCGACGUGCAAGUCGAUAUUAACUAUUAGAACAUGAUCAUCUCAUACAUCCAAUAUAUCACAUCACAUCAUUGGCCAUAUCAUAUCACAAGCAUACCCUGCAAAAAUAAGUUAGACGUCCUCUAAUUUGUUGUUGCAUGUUUUACGUGGCUGCUAUGGGUAUCUAGUAUGAUCGCAUCUUACUUACGCAAAAACCACAACGGAGAUGUGCAAAUUGCUAUUUAACCUCUCCAAGGAAUGCCCCGGUCAAAACCAAUUCAACUAAAGUUGAAGAAACCGACACCCGCAAGUCAUCUUUAUGCAACGAGGUUGCAUGUCAAUCGAUGAAACCAGUCUCUCGUAAGCGUACGAGUUAUGUCGGUCCGGGCCGCUUCAAUCCAACAAUACCGCUGAAUCAAGAAAAGACUAAGGAGGGCAGAAAAUCGAACAUCACCAUCCACAAAACCUUUUGUGUUCUACUCGAGAUAACAUCUACGCAUGAACCUAGCUCAUGAUGCCACUGUAGGGGAACGUUGCAUGGGAAACAAAAAAAUCCUACGCACACGAAGACCUAUCAUGGUGAUGUCCAUCUACAAGAGGACAUUAGAUCUAUGUACCCUUAUAGAUCGCUCAGCGGGAAGCGUUAAGAAACGCGGUUGAUGUAGUGGAACGUCUUCACGUCCCUCGAACCGUCCCACGAUCCGUUCUGAUCUAGUGCCGAACGGACGGCACCUCCGCGUUCAGCACACGUACAGCUCGACAAUGAUCUCGGCCUUCUUGAUCCAACAAGCAAGACGGAGAAGUAGAUGAGUCCUCAGGCAGCGCGAUGGCGCUCCGGUGGUGGUGAUGAUCUACUAUUGCAGGGCUCCGCCCGAGCUUCGCAGAAAUCCGAUCUAGAGGUAGAACUAUGUGGUCUAGGGUUGAGUUGCACGUGGAAAAAGUUGUCUCAGAUGAGCCCUAAAACACCACUAUAUAUAGGAGGGAGGGGGAGGGGCUUGCCUUGAGGUACAAGGCCCUCAAGGGUGCACCAGCGCUAGGAGGAGGAGGAGGACUCCUCCAAUUCGGUUUGGGGAAGGAGGAGUCCUCCUCUUCCUUCCCACCUCCCUCUUUCCCUUUUUCUUUUUCUUUUCUUUUGGUAUUUCUUUAUGUGGCGCCAUGGGCCCCUUGGGCUGACUCCACCAGUCCACUAAGGACUUGUGGCGUCACCCUUGUGCCUUGGGCUCACUCUCGGGUGGGUGGGCCCCUCCCGGUGAACUCCCGGAACCCAUUCGUCACUCCCGGUACACUACCAGAAUUGCCCAAAACUUUCCGGUGACCAAAUGAAACCAUCCUAUAUAUCAAUCUUUGUUUCCGAACCAUUCUGGAAACCCUCGUGAUGUCCGUGAUCUCAUCCGGGACUCCGAACAACAUUCGGUAACCACACAUAUAACUCAACUAUACUAAAACAUCAUCGAACCUUAAGUGUGCAGAGCUUGCGAGUUCGAGAACUAUGUAGUCAUGCCCCGAGGCACUCCUCGGUCAAUAUCCAAUAGCGGGACCUGGAUACCCAUAUUGGAUCCUACAUAUUCUCCGAAGAUCUUAUUGAUUGAACCUCAGUGUCAAGGAUUCAUAUAAUCCCGUAUGUCAUUCCCUUUGUCCUUCGGUAUGUUACUUGCCCGAGAUUUGAUCGUCGGUAUCCGCAUACCUAUUUAAAUCUCGUUACCGGCAAGUCUCUUUACUCGUUAUGUAAUACAAGAUCCCGUGACUCAAACUUAGUCACAUUGCUUGCAAGGCUUGUGUGUGAUGUUGUCUUACCGAGUGGGCCCCGAGAUACCUCUCCGUCACUCGGAGUGACAAAUUCCAGUCUUGAUCCAUACUAACUCAGCGGACACCUUCGGAGAUACCUAUAGAGCACCUUUAUAGUCAGACAGUUAUGGUGUGACGUUUGAUGCACACAAGGUAUUCCUCCGGUGCCAGUGAGUUAUAUGAUCUCAUGGUCANNNNNNNNNNCAUAGCAAUAAAAAGACAUGAUCAAUAUGCUACGUUCAUAGUUUGGGUCUAGUCCAUCACAUGAUUCUCCUAAUAAUGUGAUCCAGUUAUCAAGUGACAACACUUGCAUAUAGCGAGAAAACCUUGACUAUCAUUGAUCAUCUGGCUAGCCAACUAGAGGCUUGCUAGGGACAUUGUUUUGUCUAUGUAUCCACACAUGCAUCUAUGUAUUCAUUCAAUACAAUUAUAGCAUGGAUAAUAAACGAUUAUCAUGAACAAAGAAAUAUAAUAAUAACUAAUUUAUUAUUGCCUCUAGGGCAUAUUUCCAACAAUAUCUACUUGAUGAAGCACAAGUCUGAAACGUUUGAGAACUUCAAGCAAUUUCAGAGUGAAGUUGAAAAUCAUCGUAACAAGAUGAAGUUCCUACAUUCUGAUCGUGGGGGUGAAUAUCUGAGUUUCAAGUUUGGUGCUCACUGAAGACAAUGUGGAAUUGUUUCACAGUUGACACCUCCUAGAACACCACAGCGUAAUGGUGUGUCCGAACGUCGUAAUCGUACUUUGUUAGAAAUAGUGCGAUCUAUGAUGUCUCUUACCGAUUUGUCGUUAUCGUUUUGGGGUUAUGCAUUAGAAGCAACUCCAUUCACUAAAAAUAGGGCACCAUCAAAAUCCAUUGAGAAUACACCAUACGAACUAUGGUAUGGCAAAAGACCGAAAUUGUCAUUUCUUAAACUUUGGGGAUGUGAUGCUUAUGUCAAAAAGCUUCAGCCUGAAAAGCUAGAACCCAAAGCAGAAAAGUGUGUCUUCAUAGGUUACCCAAAAGAGACAGUUGGGUACACCUUCUAUCUCAAAUCCGAGGGGAAAGUAUUUGUUGCUAAGAACUGAGCUUUUCUUGAGAAAGAGUUUCUCUUGAAAGAAUUGAGUGGGAGGAAGAUAGAACUUGAUGAGGUUGUAGAACCUCUAGUCCCUCUAGAUGGUGGCGCGGGGCAAGGGGAAACCCCUGUCGAAGCGAUGCCGGUUGAGGAGGAAGUUAAUAAUGAUGAUCAUGAAACUUUGGAUCAAGUUCCUGUGGGACCUCGCAGGUCGAUGAUACGUCCAUUUUGCAUCAUGCUUUCAUGUUGAUAUUUAUUGCUUUUUGGGCUGUUAUUACACUUCGAGGUACAAUACUUAUACCUUUUCUCUCUUAUUUUGCAAGGUUUACACGAAGACGCAUUUAUUCUUAAUGGGGGUGCGGUAAGCUGGUGCAGUUCCAAGCAAAGCGUCGUAUCAGUUUCUACAUGUGAAGCGGAGUACAUGGCUGCCUCGGAGGCAGCUAAGGAGGGUGUCUGGAUGAAGCAGUUCAUGACGGAUCUUGGAGUUGUGUCGAGCGCACUAAAUCCAAUAACUAUGUUCUAUGAAAAAACUGGUGUCAUUGCGUUAGCAAAGGAACCAAGGUUUCACAAGAAGACCAGACAUAUCAAACGAAGCUUCGACCUCAUCCGCGACUACGUUGAAGAAGAGGACGUAAAUAUUUGCAAAGUGCACACGGAUCUGAAUGUAGCAGACACGCUGACUAAACCUCUUCCACGGGCAAAACAUGAUCAACACGAGAACUAUAUGGGUGUUAGAUUUAUUACAAUGUAAAUCGCAUGGCAAUGUGAGGACUAGAUUAUUGACUCUCGUGCAAGUGGGAGACUAUUGGAAAUAUGCCCUAGAGGCAAUNNNNNNNNNNNNNNNNNNNNNNNNNNNNNNNNNNNNNNNNNNNNNNNNNNNNNNNNNNNNNNNNNNNNNNNNNNNNNNNNNNNNNNNNNNNNNNNNNNNNNNNNNNNNNNNNNNNNNNNNNNNNNNNNNNNNNNNNNNNNNNNNNNNNNNNNNNNNNNNNNNNNNNNNNNNNNNNNNNNNNNNNNNNNNNNNNNNNNNNNNNNNNNNNNNNNNNNNNNNNNNNNNNNNNNCCAUAGGCAAGUGUUGUCACUUGAUACCGGGAUCACAUCAUUAGGAGAAUCAUGUGAUGGACUAGACCCAAACUAUGAACGUAGCAUGUUGAUCGUGUCAUUUUGUUGCUAUUGUUUUCUACGUGUCAAGUAUUUAUUCCUAUGACCAUGAGAUCAUAUAACUCACUGGCACCGGAGGAAUACCUUGUGUUUAUCAAACGUCGCAACGUAACUAGGUGACUAUAAAGGUGCUCUAUAGGUAUAUCCGAAGGUGUCUGUUGAGUUAGUAUGGAUCAAGACUGGGAUUUGUCACUCCGUGUGACGGAGAGGUAUCUCGGGGCCCACUCGGUAAUACAACAUCACACACAAGCCUUACAAGCAGUGUAACUAAGUGUAAGUCACUGGAUCUUGUAUUAUGGAACGAGUAAAGAGACUUGCCGGUAACGAGAUUGAAAUAGGUAUGCGGAUACCGACGACCGAAUCUCACGCAAGUAACAUACCGAAGGACAAAGGGAAUGACAUACGGGAUUAUAUGAAUCCUUGGCACUGAGGUUCCACCGAUAAGAUCUUCGGAGAAUAUGUAGGAUCCAAUAUGGGCAUCCAGGUCCCGCUAUUGGAUAUUGACUGAGGACUGUCUCGGGUCAUGUCUACAUAAUUCUCGAACCCGCAGGGUCUGCACACUUAAGGUUCGAUGAUGUUUUAGUAUAGUUGAGUUAUAUGNNNNNNNNNNAGAGUCCCGGGUGAGAUCACAGACGUCACGAGGGUUUCUGGAAUGGUCCGGAAACGAAGAAUGAUAUAUAGGAUUGUUUCAUUUGGUCACCGAAAAGCUUCGGGCAUUUCGGGCAGUGUACCGGGAGUGACGAAUGGGUUCUGGGUGUUUACUGGGAGGGGCCCACCCACCCGGGAGUGAGCCCAUGGCAUUAGGGUGGCACACCAAGUCCUUAUUGGGCUGGUGGAGCCAGCCCAAGAGGGCUAUGGCGCCACAAGUAAAAAUACCAAAAGAAACAAGAAGAAAAAAGGGAAAGAGGGAGGUGGGACGGAAGAGCAGGACUCCUCCUUCCCAAACCGAAUUGGAGGAGGAGUCCUCCUCCCCCUUUCGUCGGCGCACCCUUGGGGACCUUGUGCCCCAAGUCUAGCCCCUCCCCUCCUCCUAUAUAUGUUGGUGGUUUAGGGCUUUUUGAGACACAACUUUGCCACGUGCAACUCUAGCCUAUAUUCCACAUAGUUUUACCUCUAGAUCAGAUUUCCGCGGAGCUCGAGCGGAGCCGUGCAGGAGUAGAUCAUCUCCACCACUGGAGCACCUUACGCUAACGGAGAACUCAUCUACUUCUCCAUCUUCCUUGAUGGAUCAAGAAGGCCGAGAUCGUCAUCGAGCUGUACGUGUGCUGAACGCGGAGGUGUCGUCCGUUCGGCGCUAGAUCGGAACCGUUUGUGGGACGAACCGUGGGACGACGGUGAUUUGAAUCACGAAGCUGUACCACUACAUCAACCGCAUUUCUUAACGUUUCCCACUUAGCGAUCUACAAGGGUACGUAGAUCUAAUCUCCUCUCGUAGAUGGACAUCACCAUGAUAGGUCUUCGUGUGCGUAGGAAAUUUUUUGUUUCCCAUGCAACGUUCCCCAACACAUACGGGAUUAUAUGAAUCCUUGGCACUUAGGUUCAACCGAUAAAGAUCUUCGGAGAAUAUUUAGGAUCUAAUAUGGGCAUCCAGGACCCUCUAUUGGUUAUUGACCGAGGAGUGUCUCGGGUCAUGUGUACAUAGUUCUCGAACCCGGAGGGUCUGCACACUUAAGGUUUGAUGAUGUUUUAGUAUAGUUGAGUUAUAUGUGUGGUUACCUAAUGUUGUUCAGAGUCCAGGAUGAGAUCACGGAUGCCACGAGGGUUUCCGGAAUGGUCCGGAAACGAAGAUUGAUAUAUAGGAUGGUUUCAUUUGGUCACCGGAAAGUUUCGGGCAUUGCCGGCAGAGUAUGGGGAGUGACGAAUGGGUUCCGGGUGUUCACCGGGAGGGGCCCACCCACCCGGGAGUGAGCCCAAUAGCCUUAGGGUGGCGCACCAGCCCUUAGUGGGCUGGUGGAGCAAGCCCAAGAGGGCUAUGGCGCCACAAGUGAAAAAAACAAAGGAAAGAAAAAAAAAGGAAAAGAGGGAGGUGGGAAGGAAGAGGAGGACUCCUCUUCCCAAACCGAAUUGGAGAAGGAGUCCUCCUAUCCACUUCAGUCGGCACACCCUUGGGGCCCUUGAGCCCCAAGGCUAGCCCAUCCCCUCCUCCUAUAUAUACUGGUGGUUUUAGGGUUUUUGAGACACAACUUUGCCAUGUGCAACUCAAACCUAUUCCACAUAGUUUUGCCUCUAGAUCGGAUUUCUACGGAGCUCGGGCGGAGCCCUGCAGGAGUAGAUCAUCACCACCACCAGAGCGCCGUCACACUGCCGGAGAACUCAUCUACUUCUCUGUCUCUCUUGCUGGAUCAAGAAGGCCGAGAUCGUCAUCGAGUUGUACGUGUGCUGAACGCAGAGGUCGCGUCCGUUCGGCGCUAGAUUGGAACGGGUCGUGGGAUGGAUCGUGGGACGACGGUGAUUUGAAUCACGAAGUUGUACCACUACAUCAAUCGCGUUUCUUAACGCUUCCCUCUUAGCGAUCUACAAGGGUAGGUAGAUCUAAUCUCCUCUCGUAGAUGGACAUCACCAUGAUAGGUCUUCGUGUGCGUAGGAUUUUUUUUGUUUCCCAUGCAACGUUCCCCAACCAAAUGCAGCCAUUAUAAGACAUAUUAUCAAUCUAUCAAUCUUCAAGAUGUGUUCUUCACUAUUUUCUUCUUAAGAUCUGAUCUCCGUGUAUGAUGAGUUAGGUAAGGUAUGGGUUGGGGCAUAGGCAUUGCAACCUUUUGUAUUUGUUGUGGGGAUCAACUAAAGGGCUUUGAAUUAACAUCCCAUAUGUGUAAAAUAAUUUUUUUGUAGAUAUAUUUUGUCUUGUUUGUGUACUUCAUCCCUCUAGGUACGGAGGAUAAUGGAGAGCAAGUCAUGGAGAGGCUAAUGGUUGGGAGAACGUGAAGUGUUACUCUGAACACUAGUGUGAAAGUGCGUUAUAUCAACUAGAGGGGGUGAAUAGGCGAUUUUUAUGAAUUCGUCACUUAGGAAAUUCCUUUUGAGGAAAUUCCUCACUCACGAACUGCGUGCAGCGGAAUAAGUACUCAAGCAGGUGUGGAAAACAACAAUAGCAUAGUCUUGAGAGUAAAAUGAAACAUUCGGUUUGCACAAGUAGCAUGUUGAGGAUAUGCAGGUGAAGAACAAGUGAAGUGAAGAAUUUGGGGUGAGGAAAUUGUGAAAGUCUUCAGUCAAAUUCUUCAUACAGUAACGAUCAAUUUCAUCAACAUACAAUUGAGGAAAUGAAAGGGUAUUACCACAAGAGGUACAUGACAUCAUAUAAUUCGACUAAUCAUCAACACAUAUGAUCAUAAUCAUGGUGCCAAUUCAUAAGGUAAAAAAAUAGAUAUGACCCAUAGCUACUACCACAAACCCUAACCCCAAAGGUAGACUACUUUAGCAUAGUCAUGGGAGUUGCAAGGGUUGAUGUAGAAGUUGAAGACAUAGAGACCCCUUCGAUAUAGUGUCACAUUAGAGCUAAAAACGAAGAUCGCCUCGAAACAAGAAGUGACAUGAUACGUCUCCAACGUCUCUAUAAUUUUUUACGGUUUCAUACUAUUAUCUUGUCAAACUUUGGAUGCGUUGUAUGCCUUUUAUAACUUUUUGGGACUAACUUAUUAACUCAGUGCCAAGUGCCAGUUCCUGUUUUUUCCGUGUUUUUGACCCUUUUCAGAGGAGGAUUUUAAACGGAGUCCAAACGGAAUAAAACUUCCGAAAAGAUUUUUUUUUGGAACAGAAGAUACGCAGAAAGCUUGGGAGCCAAGGCAGGGAGUCCCGGGGGAGGCCACAAGCCCCCAUGGCGCGACCAGGGGGGCCCGCGCCUCCCAGGCUUGUGGGAUCCCUGGGCCUCCCCUGCCCUAGCUCCUUCGCCUAUAAAUUUUCUAAAAUUCCUAAAAAAUCAGGGGAUCCACGAAAACACUUUUCCGCCGCCGCAAGCUUCUGUCUCCGCAAGAUCCCAAUGCGGGGCACGUUCUCGUGCCCUGUCGGAGGGGGGAUUCGGAUAUGGAGGGCUUCUUCAUCAACACCAUGACCUCUCCGAUGAUGCGUGGGUAGUUCACCAUAGACCUACGGGUCCAUAGCUAGUAGCUAGAUGGCUUCUUCUCUCUCUUGNNNNNNNNNNNNNNNNNNNNNNNNNNNNNNNNNNNNNNNNNNNNNNNNNNNNNNNNNNNNNNNNNNNNNNNNNNNNNNNNNNNNNNNNNNNNNNNNNNNNNNNNNNNNNNNNNNNNNNNNNNNNNNNNNNNNNNNNNNNNNNNNNNNNNNAGGUGUGUUUGUCGAAAUCCGAUGAAUUGUGGAUUUAUGAUCAGAUUAUCUAUGAAUCUUAUUUGAGUUUCUUCCGAUCUCUUAUAUGAAUGAUUUCAUAUCCUUGUAAUUCUCUUCAAGUUGUGGGUUUUGUUUGGCCAACUUGAUCUAUGAUUCUUGCAAUGGGAGAAGUGCUUGGUUUUGGGUUCAUACCGUGCGGUGACCUCACCCAGUGACAGAAGGGGUAGCGAGGCAUGCAUCAUGUUCUUGCCAUCAAGGGCAAAAAGAUGGGGUUUUCAUCAUUGGUUUGAGUUUAUCCCUCUACAUCAUGUCNNNNNNNNNNGGCAUUACUCUGUUCGUCAUGAACUCAAUACACUAGAUGCAUGUUGGGUAGCGGUCGAUGUGUGGAGUAAUAGUAGUAGAUGCAGAAAGUAUCGGUCUACUUGUCUCGGACGUGAUGCCUAUAUUGUUGGGGAACAUCGCAUGGGAAACAAAAAAAUUCCUACGCGCACGAAGACCUAUCAUGGUGAUGUCCAUCUACGAGAGGGGAUGAGUGAUCUACGUACCCUUGUAGAUCAUACAGCAGAAGCGUUAGUGAACGCGGUUGACGUAGUGGAACGUCCUCACGUCCCUCGAUCCGCCCCGCGGACAAUCCCGCGAUCAGUCCCACGAUCUAGUACCGAACGGACGGCACCUNNNNNNNNNNNNNNNNNNNNNNNNNNNNNNNNNNNNNNNNNNNNNNNNNNNNNNNNNNNNNNNNNNNNNNNNNNNNNNNNNNNNNNNNNNNNNNNNNNNNUCCGGACGACUCUAAGUCGCAAACCGGAUACGUAUUUAUUCUUAAUGGGGGUGCAGUAAGCUGGUGCAGUUCCAAGCAAAGCGUCGUAGAAGAUUCUACAUGUGAAGCGGAGUACAUGGCUGCCUCGGAGGCGGCUAAAGAGGGUGUCUGGAUGAAGCAGUUCAUGACGGAUCUUGGAGUGGUGCCAAGCGCACUGGAUCUAAUAACCUUGUUCUGUGACAACACGGGUGCCAUUGCCUUAGCAAAGGAACCACGGUUUCACAAGAAGACCAGACACAUCAAACGACGCUUCAACCUCAUCCGCGACUACGUCGAGGAAGAGGAUGUAAAUAUAUGCAAAGUGCACACGGAUCUGAAUGUAGCAGACCCGCUGACUAAACCUCUUCCACGGCCAAAACAUGAUCGACACCAGAACUGUAUGGGUGUUAGAUUUAUUACAAUGUAAUUCACAUGGUGAUGUGAGGGCUAGAUUAUUGACUCUAGUGCAAGUGGGAGACUGUUGGAAUUAUGCCCUAGAGUCAAUGAUAAAUAUAGUUAUUAUUAUAAUUCCUGUAUCAAGAUAAUUUUUUAUUGUCCAUGCUAUAAUUGUAUUGAAUGAAGACUCAUUUACAUGUGUGGAUANNNNNNNNNNNNNNNNNNNNNNNNNNNNNNNNNNNNNNNNNNNNNNNNNNNNNNNNNNNNNNNNNNNNNNNNNNNNNNNNNNNNNNNNNNNNNNNNNNNNUGGAAUUUAUGGGAAUAUAUAGGCGAAAGUCCUAGGGCAAAGGGCGUCCAGGGGGCCCACAAGCCUGGAUGGCAGGCCCCCUGGCCGCGGGGUGGGGGCUUGUGGGGCCCCUGGGGCUCCCCUGCCUUGGCUCCCAAGCUCCGUGAUCUUCUUCCUUUCCAAAAAAAAUAUUUUCGGGGAUUUUCUUCCGUUUGGACUCUGUUUCAAAAUCUCCUCUGAAAGGGGUCAAAAACAUGGAAAAAACAGGAACUAGCACUUGGCACUGAGUUAAUAAGUUUGUCCCAAAAAAUAUAUAAAAGGCAAGCAAAACAUCCAAAGUUUGACAAGAUAAUAGCAUGAAACCAUAAAAAAUGAUAGAUACGUUGGAGACGUAUUAGUAAUCUAUUGUAAUUUCCAUGAGUAUUGUUGUAGGAGUUGCCAAAGUUAUUAGUGGAGUUACUAGGAAAAGGCCUAGGAACAUAGUUUCCUCUAAAAGCAUUGUUGUUGCCAAAAUUAUGUUGGGGAACGUCGCAUGGGAAACAAAAAAAUUCCUACGCGCACGAAGACCUAUCAUGGUGAUGUCCAUCUACGAGAGGGGAUGAGUGAUCUACGUACCCUUGUAGAUCGUACAGCAGAAGCGUUAGUGAACGCGGUUGAUGUAGUGGAACGUCCUCACGUCCCUCGAUCCGCCCCNNNNNNNNNNUGAGAGGGGAUGAGUGAUCUACGUACCCUCGUAGACCGUACAACAGAAGCGUUAGAGAACGCGGUUGAUGUAGUGGAACGUCCUCACGUCCCUCGAUCCGCCCCGCGAACAAUCCCGCGAUCAGUCCCACGAUCUAGUACCGAACGGACGGCACCUNNNNNNNNNNAGGUGGAGGAGUCCUACUCCAAUCCUACUUGGAGUAGGAUUCCACCUUCCCACUUGGAAACUCUUUCCACCUUGUGUUUUUUUCCUUCUCAAACCUUAUGGGCCUUAGUGGGAACUUAUUCCAGCCCACUAGGGGCUGGUUUAUCUCUUCCCAUAGCCCAUGAGACCCCUUGGGGCGUGACACCCCUCCCAAUGGUCCCCGGCACCCCUCCCAGCACUCCCGGUACACUACCGAUGAACCCAAAACUUUUCCGGUNNNNNNNNNNUCUAGAGGAAAAACCGUGGAGGUAUGUGGUCGGGCUGCCGUGGAAAAGUCGUCUCAAAUCAGCCCUAAAACCUCCGUAUAUAUAGGUGGGAGGGAGGGGACCUUGCCUUGGGGCUCAAGGAGCCCCAAGGGGGUCGGCCGAGUCCAAGGGGGGAGGACUCCCCCCCCCAAACCGAGUUGGACUUGGUUUGGUGGGAGGGAGUCCCCCUUCCUUCCCUCCUCCUCCCUUUUUUUUUCUUUCUCUCUUGAUUUUCUUCUCCUUGGCGCAUAGAGCCUUUUGGGCUGUCCCACCAGCCCACUAAGGGCUGGUGUGUCACCCCAAAGGCCUAUGGGCUUCCCCGGGGUGGGUUGCCCCCCCGGUGAACUCUCAGAACCCAUUCGUCAUUCCCGGUACAUUCCCGGUAAUUCCGAAAACCUUCCGGUAAUCAAAUGAGGUCAUACUAUAUAUCAAUCUUCGUUUCCGGACCAUUCCGGAAACCCUCCUGACGUCCGUGAUCUCAUCCGGGACUCCGAACAACAUUCGGUAACCAANNNNNNNNNNGCCUUGCCUUGGGGUCCAAGUACCCUCAAGGGGGUCGGCCGAGCCAAGGGGGAGGACUCUCCCCCCCAAACCGAGUUGGACUAGGUUUGGUGGGAGGGAGUCCCCCUCCCUUCCCACCUCCUCCCUUUUUUUUCUUUUUCCUUUGAUUUCUUAUCCUUGGCGCAUAGACCACUUGUGGGCUGUCCCACCAGCCCACUAAGGGCUGGUGUGUCUCCCCAAAGGCCUAUGGGCUUCCCCGGGGUGGGUUGCCCCCCCCGGUGAACUCCNNNNNNNNNNUCCUCCUUUUUUUUCCUCUUGAUUUUCUUCUCCCGAGUUGGACUUGGUUUGGUGGGAGGGAGUCCCCCUUCCUUCCCACCUCCUCCUUUUUUUUCCUCUUGAUUUUCUUCUCCUUGGCGCAUAGAGCCCUUUUGGGCUGUCCCACCAGCCCACUAAGGGCUGGUGUGCCACCCUCAAGGCCUAUGGGCUUCCCCGGGGUGGGUUGCCCCCCCCGGUGAACUCCCGGAACCCAUUCGUCAUUCCCGGUACAUUCCCGGUUACUCCGAAAACCUUCCGGUAAUCAAAUGAGGUCAUCCUAUACAUCAAUCUUCGUUUCCGGACUAUUCCGGAAACCCUCGUGACGUCCGUGAUCUCAUCUGGGACUCCGAACAACAUUCGGUAACCAACCAUAUAACUCAAAUACGCANNNNNNNNNNGAUGAGCCCGAAACUUUUCCGGUAAUGCACGAAAACCUUCCGGUAACCAAAUGAGGUCNNNNNNNNNNGACCAAAACAGGACUUCCUAUAUAUCAAUCUUUACCUCCGGACCAUUCCGGAGCUCCUCGUGACGUCCUGGAUCUCAUCCGGGACUCCGAACAACAUUCGGUAACCAACCAUAUAACUNNNNNNNNNNAACUCCGAAAACCUUCCGGUAAUCAAAUGAGGUCAUCCUAUAUAUCAAUCUUCGUUUCCGGACCAUUCCGGNNNNNNNNNNUAAAACAACGUCGAACCUUAAGUGUGCAGACCCUGCGGGUUCGAGAACUAUGUAGACAUGACCCGAGAGACUCCUCGGUCAAUAUCCAACCGCGGGACCUGGAUGCCCAUUUUGGAUCCUACAUAUUCUACAAAGAUCUUAUCGUUUGAACCUCAGUGCCAAGGAUUCGUAUAAUCCCGUAUGUCAUUCCCUUUGUCCUUCGGUAUGUUACUUGCCCNNNNNNNNNNUGACUCCUCGGUCAAUAUGCAAUAGCGGGACCUGGAUGCCCAUAUUGGAUCCUACAUAUUCUACGAAGAUCUUAUCGGUGGAACCUCGGUGCCAAGGAUUCAUAUAAUCCCGUAUGUUAUUCCCUUUGUCCUUCGGUAUGUUACUUGCCCGAGAUUCGAUCGUCAGNNNNNNNNNNNNNNNNNNNNNNNNNNNNNNNNNNNNNAUAAUACAAGAUCCUGCAACUUACAUUAAGUUACAUUUCUUGCAAGGCUUGUGUGUGAUGUUGUAUUACCGAGUGGGCCCCGAGAUACCUCUCCGUUCACACGGAGUGACAAAUCCCAGUCUUGAUCCAUACUAACUCAACGAACACCUUCGGAGAUACCUGUAGAGCAUCUUUAUAGUCACCCAGUUACGUUGCGACGUUUGAUACACACAAAGCAUUCCUCCGGUGUCAGUGAGUUANNNNNNNNNNAAUACAAGAUCCCGCAACUUACACUAAGUUACACUGCUUGUAAGGCUUGUGUGUGAUGUUGUAUUACCGAGUGGGCCCCGAGAUACCUCUCCGUCACGCGGAGUGACAAAUCCCAGUCUCGAUCCAUACUAACUCAACUAACACCUUCGGAGAUACCUGUAGAGCAUCUUUAUAGUCACCCAAUUACGUUGCAACGUUUGAUACACACAAAGCAUUCCUCCGGUGUCAGUGAGUUAUAUGANNNNNNNNNNNNNNNNNNNNNNNNNNNNNNNNNNNNNNNNNNNNNNNNNNNNNNNNNNNNNNNNNNNNNNNNNNNNNNNNNNAACAACACUUGCCUAUGGCCAAGAAACCUUGGCCAUCUUUGAUCAACGAGCCAGUCAACUAGAGGCUUACUAGGGACGGUGUUUUGUCUAUGUAUCCACACAAGUAUUGUGUUUCCAAUCAAUACAAUUAUAGCAUGGAUAAUAAACGAUUAUCAUGAACAAAGAAAUAUAAUAACAACUAUUUUAUUAUUGCCUCUAGGGCAUAUUUCCAACAUAUAUGUAUGAUCAUUGCCUUAUAUGUAUGAUCAUACAUAUAGGCAUCACGUCCGAGACAAGUAGACCGAUACUUNNNNNNNNNNUAACACCUUUGGAGAUACCUGUAGAGCACCUUUAUGGUCACCCAGUUACAUUGCGACGUUUGAUACACACAAAGCAUUCCUCCGGUGUCAGUGAGUUAUAUGAUCUCAUGGUCAUAGGAAUAAAUACUUGACACGCAGAAAACAGUAGCAACAAAAUGACACGAUCAACAUGCUACGUCUAUUAGUUNNNNNNNNNNNNNNNNNNNNNNNNNNNNNNNNNNNNNNNNNNNNNNNNNNNNNNNNNNNNNNNNNNNNNNNNNNNNNNNNNNNNNNNNNNNNNNNNNNNNGCACAGCGGUAGUACCGCUCUCAAAGAGGUAGUAAAAUUUUACUACCGCUCCAGGAGCGGUACUACCGUCCCNNNNNNNNNNCCCGAAGAACGGUAGUAGUUUUUUACUACCGCUCCAAGGGCGGUACUACCGCCCUUAGUGCGGUAGUAUUAUUUUACUACCGCACCGACGGACCUUUUCUCGCAUACUUUCCAACGGAGGGGGUGGCGCGGUAGUACCCCCCGGUACUACCGUGGUUGGUAUGGAGCUGAGCGCUAGUACCGCUCCCUCGAGCGGUAGUACCGCUCUGGGAAGCGGUAGUACCGCUCGUGCAUUUAUNNNNNNNNNNUACGGAGGGGGUGGCGCGGUAGUACCCCCCGGUACUACCGUGGUUGGUAAGGAGCUGAGCGCUAGUACCGCUCCCUGGAGCGGUAGUACCGCUCUGGGAAGCGGUAGUACCGCUCGUGCAUUUAUGUGGCAGGUGGGUAACGGUUGGAUCUGCCCCACCCACUAUAUAAAUGCAUCUCCUUCUUCCUUGAGCUCACCUUCGACCUCUCUAAGCUCCAUUGUUGCUCCACAAGCUCAUUUUAGCCCGAUCUCUCUCCCUAGCCAAUCAAUCUUGUUGAUUUUCUAGGGAUUGCUUGAGAAGGCCUUGAUCCACACUUCGACCAAAGGAUAUUUGAUUCCCCCUACUAAUCCCUUGUGGAUCUUGUUACUCUUGGGUGGUUGAGCACCCUAGACGGUUGAGGUCACCUCGGAGCAACAUUCCAUUGUGGUGAAGCUCCGUGGUCUUGUUGGGAGCCUCCAAGCUUUGUGUGGAGAUUGCCCCAACCUUGUUUGUAAAGGUUCCGUCGCCGCCUUCAAGAGCACCUAUAGUGGAAUCACGGUACCUUGCAUUGUGCGAGGGCGUGAGAAGAAUACGGUGGCCCUAGUGGCUUAUUGGGGAGCAUUGUGCCUCCACACCGCUCCAACGGAGACGUACUUCCUGUCAAAGGGAAGGAACUUCGGUAACACAUCCUCGUCUUCAUCGGUUACACUUGUGGUUAUCUCUUACCUUUACUCUAUAUAUGUUGGUGUUGUAGNNNNNNNNNNUGGAGACGUACUUCCUGUCAAAGGUAAGGAACUUCGGUAACACAUCCUCGUCUUCAUCGGUUCCACUUGUGGUUAUCUCUUACCUUUACUCUAUAUAUGUUGGUGUUGUAGAGUAUCUCCUACGUGCUUCGUNNNNNNNNNNNNNNNNNNNNNNNNNNNNNNNNNNNNNNNNNNNNNNNNNNNNNNNNNNNNNNNNNNNNNNNNNNNNNNNNNNNNNNNNNNNNNNNNNNNNAAGAGAAUGAAAUUGAUGGUUAGAAAUUGUCCCGCUCAUGGCCUGAGUCUCUGGAUGAUUAUUCAAAUCUUUUACGCUGGCUUGAAUUUCGCUUCUAGAAAUAUCUUGGACUCCGCCUCAGGUGGAACGUUCAUGGAAAUCACGUUAGGGGAAGCUACAAAGCUCGUAGACAACAUCCUGACGAAUUACUCUCAGUGGCACACUAAAAGGUCACCUACUAGUAAGAAGGUACACGCUAUAGAAGAAAUUAACUCGUUGAGUGCUAAGAUGGAUGAGUUAAUGAAUUUGGUUGCUAGUAGAAGUGCUCCUUUAGAUCCUAAUGAUAUGCCCUUGUCUUCUUUGAUUAAGAGUAGCAACGCUAGCUUGGACGUUAAUUUUGUUGGUAGGAAUAAUUUUGGCAACAACAAUGCUUUUAGAGGAAACUAUGUUCCUAGGCCUUUUCCUAGUAACUCCUCUAAUAACUUUGGCAACUCCUACAACAAUACUCAUAGAAAUUACAAUAGAUUACCCUCUGAUCUAGAGAGUAAUAUCAAAGAGUUUAUGAACUCGCAAAAAAAUUUCAAUGCAUCCAUAGAGGAAAAACUACUCAAAAUUGACGAUUUGGCUAAGAGCGUUGAUAGAAUGUCUAGUGAUAUUGAUGCUUUGAAAGUUAGAUGUGCUCCUCCCAAGAUCAAUAUGGAUGAAACUUUGAAAGCUAUGCGUGUUUCCAUGAUUGAGAGCAAAGAAAGAACCGCCCAAAUUCGUGCUAGACAUGAAUGGCUUAAAAAGGCGUGUUCUCGUGAUAAGAAUCGCGAAGAUCUUAAAGUGCUUGGUGUGACUCCCAUUAAAUCUUUGUUUUCUUGUGUCAAACCUAAUGAUGAUGGGGCUGGAUAUGAAUCCACUUUGGUUGAAAAACGCCCCAAUGAUUCGGAGUCCAUCUAUCUUGAUGCUAAAAGCAUUGAAAGUGGAGUAGGAGAUAUUAAAACUUAGAGUAGUAAUGAAAUUACUACCUUGGAUUUCAAGGAAUUCAAUUAUGAUAGUUGCUCCUUGAUUGAAUGCAUUUCCUUGAUGCAAUCCAUGCUAAACUCUCCACACACUUAUAGCCAAAACAAGGCCUUUACCGAUCAUAUCGUCGAAGCUAUGAUAAAAUCUCUUGAAGAGNNNNNNNNNNNNNNNNNNNNNNNNNNNNNNNNNNNNNNNNNNNNNNNNNNNNNNNNNNNNNNNNNNNNNNNNNNNNNNNNNNNNNNNNNNNNNNNNNNNNUCGCCUACCCCGACCCCCUCGCCGCCGGCCAUCCCAGCCCGAUCCAUCCCUCGCAGAAUACCCCGUCGCCCUGGACCUGACGGCCUCCACCUCCCAGGCCGCGCCCUCGAGCCCUCCGCCGCCGCCGUUGCUCGGUGUCGUCUCUGGCGCCNNNNNNNNNNNNNNNNNNNNNNNNNNNNNNNNNNNNNNNNNNNNNNNNNNNNNNNNNNNNNNNNNNNNNNNNNNNNNNNNNNNNNNNNNNNNNNNNNNNNNNNNNNNNNNNNNNNNNNGCGUGUACAUCUCUCUCUCUCUCCCAUGCAUCUCUUCCUCUUCUAACCGGGAUGAGGAUGUAGAUGGCAGAUCGGCGAGUCACGGGAGCGAAGCGACAGCGACGGCUGCACGGGAUCUGUCGUGCGGCCGGGCUCGAUCUAUCGUAGCGGCAGCCCCCUCCUAUCCUAUCCCGCCCCAUCUGAAUCGGGGCGACCNNNNNNNNNNNNNNNNNNNNNNNNNNNNNNNNNNNNNNNNNNNNNNNNNNNNNNNNNNNNNNNNNNNNNNNNNNNNNNNCAAGACCUCAUCUCGCCGCGGCGAUGCCACCGACGGAGGGCGCGGCGGGGCUUGGGAUCUCGGAGUUCUUGAUUCUCCUCUCGUCCCGUAAGUGCAUCCUCUCCCUUGGCUUCGUCCUCUUUCUCCCCCUUUCUCUAACCUCUGUUCUUCCCUUUUCUGUAGAUGUGCAGACAACUUAAUGUACGCUCUCUAUCCCUGCUCUCUACAGGCAAAACCAAUCCAAAGUGACUUGUUUAUGGAAUUGGUGCAGGGGACGGCGCCUGGGAAGGUCUCUCUUGUGCUUUGUUUCAUUCAUGGGCGUGGAUGAUAUAGGGUUACUUAGAGUUCUGCUACUUUUGGGCUUAAUUGGCUCCAAUGUCUGUUGUUUAUGGAUGGUCUCUUCUCCCUGUGCAGCAGCAGCAGGAUGGAUUCGGCACUAAGCCGGCGUGAGCCACAAAUUUGCCAUGGUGAGCUACUCCAGAUCCUCUCCCUUACUUCGUAGCCACGGUUUCUUCGUGACCAUUAAGCAAUGUAUGGUCUUAGUUAGCAUUUUGCGGUGGUAAUUGAUUCACGGUGCGGUGUGGUGGGGUUGCACCUGCACGUUAAUUGUUUAAUGCAUGGGAGGAGAAAUAAAAUGAGUGUGCUUCCAUUGUCUUUGAUCUUUGAUUUUUAUAUAACCGUAUAUAUGCAUUAAAGGUAAGCAUAAUCCUAAAAAUAAUAUUUUUCUACCACGCAUGUGCAUAACAAACUUAUUUUCUAAUUCACGCAAGAAAGGAGCUAUUCACAAUGAUCAUGCUGUUGCCAAGACUAAGAGAACUAGUGUUAUAUCAGGUGAUGCCUUUUGCCACUUGAGAGAUCCAGCAUGGUAUUUUUACUUUUCUGCUCUUAAAAGAAUAGAAUAAAAAUAGAUACUGUUCCAAAUGCUCUUUCAAUUUUUUUCUGUAAGUUUCCUACAACGCAUUUGCAACAGUAUUGCUAAGAAUAAGAUGCAUCAGCUGACAUACUGACUACCAAGCAAGAGCUACACUAUUGUCAGACAUCAGUCCAUGAGCUAUACAGUUAUAUUCCCUUUGUUGGCUAUACACUUCUCUUGGUACGUCUAAACAUUCUGUCAAUUGGUCCUACAUUACGUUGGCUUCUCUAUAAACACAUUCUAUGCACGAAGAACAUAUCAUACUAUGCCCUAUCCCAUCGUAGUCCUAUCUCAUUCACAGUAGGAUCAUCACUCUACUUUUCUCUGUAAGAUUAAAUUGUUGGUCUUCAUAUACUUUUGUUAUAUAGAAUCACUCUCUUUUGUUUAUAGAUAUUAAUCUGUUCUGAACUACUGCAUAAGAUUACUUUGUUCUUGGAAUGCCAUUCUUUCCAAUGCCAUUAUGUUCUCUUUCGCAAUCAUUUUCUUUUUGGAGAUUCAGAUUUUCUUUGCACAAAUAAUGUUAGUUUCCAGUAGCACCAAAUUCAUUUUCCCAUGUCGGUGAGACCAAUUCCGUGAUGAAGGUCUCUCUUACCAUAUUUGCUAUUUACUAUAGUUUGUUUGAAUUCAGGGGAAAGGGGUAUGCAAGGAAUACACCAUCAUACAGCAUGCGCACUAAUUUAGAAUAGUGUAGGAAUGACUACUCAACUAGCUAGCGUUCCAAACUCCAAUUCCAUGUAGUGAUACCCAACAACACAACAAUUUGAAGUUUCUUUUUUCUAGAGAAAAAGGAACCCUACCCCGGCUCACAAAUCAUGACAGUUUCUUACAAUAACUGUAGAUGAAACUGAAUAAUCGAGAUCAUACCAUCUGGCAGUUUCUGCACCCGAAGAACAGGAUGGCACGGCCCAGUUCCACACCAGUCUCUUUUAAUGCUAAUCUUUCCUGCCAAUGGCAAAUGGAUUCUAUAUACAUAUUAGCACGCUAAAGAGUGAAAAUCUUGAAGAAUAUUGUGGGAGAAACAAGAAGGAAAAUACAAAAUGAACCUAUAAGAAGCCCCUAAAAGGUGCAAGGCCAGUCCCAGGGCCUACCAUUAUAAUAGGCGCUGUAGGAUCAGCAUGCAAUUUGAAGUUUGACUGCCUCACAAAAAUUGGAGCCCAACUACAUUCUUCGCUCUCUUCCGAUGGAGUUGAAUUCAUUGUUUAGCCAUGUAGGAUCAUCAGAACAAAGUGUUUACAAGAUGACAAGAUGGUCACUGGUAGAUAUUUCAAAUGAUUAAAAGACAACUUGGCUACAUAGUAAUUAUUAUUGUUUUAAAAUGAUUGCACUCACAUCUCAAAGUACAAAUAAUUGUGUGGCCACCUAUAUUCAUAGUCGAUGGUCACUAGCAGAUAUUUUAAAGAGAGUAGUGCAAGGUUACGUCACUGAAUGCAAUGAACUCUAUGAUAUCAUCCAUCAAAUUAAUUUACGCAGCCACACAGGGGAAGAUCACAUAAAAAAUGUUGAGAAUGAGUAAUAAAAGAUGAUUAGCUGUUCACCUAAACAUACAGAGAAAGGCCAGUAGACUGAACUAGAAAUUUCAGUCCAACAACAUUAAACAACAUUGUAACAAGCACAUAUGUUGAAGCAUAUACAACAUUGUUUCUUACCGCAUAAACUUAAUUUCCCCUCCUAUUGUUGACCUUCAGUGCUGAACCUAAAUAAGUUUUACAAUCUAUAGAUUAUAUAUAGUUACAAGCCAAAAAAGCUUCAAGAAGGUAUUUUACUGCAAUUCAGUAGGACAGUCACUACCAAUUUAGACUUUUAUACUUAGUAGAUUACAAGCCUAGGAGGCCCUUACGACGAAAACCUUUGCUGCAGUUCAUGCCCCAGUUACUUUUGGUGUAUUGAUUUGCCUUGCAAAAAACAUGAGAUCUCUAAUUUUACCCAUAUAUUACUUGAUCUGAGAGUAAUAACAUGAUCACAGUUUGUGGCUAUGUUUUCCUUUCUGGCAUGUUAUACUGUUUUAGUUCUGUACUAUGGUGCAUGAUACCUCCUCUUAGCUACAGAUCAAUAUGACCCAGAAGUAUGCUUGGGCCAUCUGAAAAAGUACACCUUCAAGGAGCUUCGAGCAUCUACCAACAAUUUCAACUCAGAAAGCGUAUUAGGUGAAGGUGGAUAUGGAAUAGUAUACAAGGGUUUCUUACGUGAUGGUUCAAUUGUUGAUGUUAAAAGGCUGAAAGACCACAACGCUGUUGGUGGGGAAGUUCAAUUUCAAACUGAAGUUGAAGUCAUAAGCUUAGCUGUUCAUCGGAAUUUCCUACGGCUCAUUGGAUUUUGCACUACGGAGUGUGAGAGAUUACUUGUUUAUCCUUAUAUGCCAAAUGGAAGUGUUGCUUCUUAGUUGCGUGGUCAGUAUUUUUCGCCAUGCCCUUAUGACACUUAAAUAAUUAGCAUUACUUGGGCAGAUUCAUUAGUGGCCGGUUUAAUUUUUGCUUCCCCUUGCCAUGCAUUACACUCAUUUUCAGAUUUACGAUCUAGCAUGGAUCCAUAUUGGCACAUUGCUCCAGUUAGCUCAGACUGCCACCAAAUGCUCAGCUUAAAAAAUAAACUGACACUUGUUAGCGUUCAGGAUAAGAGAUCCUCAACAUGUUCACUUAUAACAUGUCAUAUAGUUGCAUUGUCUUCUUUUAGUGAAAGUUAUACUACAAUCAUGGAAGUCUUAAUUAGGCUCAUAAAGACCUACAGACCUACCCUUGCCACAUAUCAUCCUGGGUAGCUUCAUCCUUCUGUCAUGCCAUGAAAGAAAGCUUGACUAUUAAUUUUAAUAAUACUCAUGCUCCUUGACUCCCUGUAUUUACUUAAGUGUCCAUUGACAUUUCACAGUACACCAAAUUUUGAAAUAUGAACUGAGCUAUCAACAUCACAUUUCUAGGUUUACUACUGAUGAAAUGAAUUAAUAAAAAAAAGAGGCAUCUUAUGAUAGCUUUCCAAGUAUAUUAUUCGGUUUGGAAGCAAACUGUGACCUCCUUCAGUCCACCUAAGCUUUCCUGGAUUUUUUUUCCAGAGCAUAUAAAUGGCAAGCCAGCUCUAGAUUGGUCGAGGAGAAAGAUGAUAGCACUGGGUACAUCACGAGGGCUGCUUUAUUUGCACGAACAGUGUGAUCCAAAAAUAAUCCAUCGUGAUGUAAAAACCUCCAUUGUGCUUCUUGAUGAAUAUUUUGAAGCAAUAGUCGGAGAUUUUGGAUUGGCGAAACUUUUGGAUCACCAGGAGACCUAUGUUACCACGGCAGUGCGUGGCACCGUGGGACACAUAGCUCCAGAGUAUUUGUCAACUGGCCAGUCAUCAGAGAAGACAAAUGUGUUUGGGUUUGGAGUCCUGUUGGUUGAGUUGAUCACUGGCCAAAAAGCAUUGGAUUUUGGAAGACUAUCAAAUCAGAAGGGCGGAGUGCUUGAUCUGGUAAGCAUGUUAUAUCAUGCUCUUUUCGUGCAUUGGUAUCAAGUUCACCUUAUUACUUUAUGUGAAAAGAUCGCUUUCUCCUUCUGGACUUUUUUUGGUUCUGGCCUUUAGUUUAGUGUCUUCAGAGCUUUUCGACAACUCUGUUUGCCACUUUUAGGUCCUGUCUCACCUUUUACAUUGAGUACACUCAAUGGUAAGAUUUUAUACUCGAGAUACUGGAGCAUAUUUCAUAGUUAAAAACAGGUAAGUUGGAAAAAUAUGCUCUAUGAUACCAAAGACAACUUAAACUAUUCACCAUUGCGAUGUCCUGCUUGAAAAUCAUUUUAUGACCAGAAGAAGGCAUUGGAAAUUAAGAAUGAUCACAAUUAUUUCCCUUUUUUUGAGAAAAUGAUGCCAUCCCUAUUAAUUUUCUACCUUUGUACACCAAUACAAGACAUUGAACUACAAAGACGCCUUACAAUAGUUCGCAGAUGGAGCAGGUUAUAUUUAUUUCUGUUAAUCCUUUAUCAUAGUUUGGGCAUAUUAACUAAUUGACCAUCAGUUACCAUCUUCUGUUCAAAGUUCAGUAUAUGAUCUUUGUAUUGGCACGAUCAUUGUUUCUCAUUCUUGCAUGUGAUGGUUCCAGGUAAAGAAGCUCCAUCAGGAAAAGCAGCUGAACAUGAUGGUGGACAAGGACCUCGGCAGAAACUACGACAGGGUGGAGCUGGAGGAGAUGGUGCAGGUGGCUUUGCUGUGCACGCAGUACUACCCGUGUUGGGGAACGUCGCAUGGGAAACAAAAAUUUUCCUACGCGCACGAANNNNNNNNNNNNNNNNNNNNNNNNNNNNNNNNNNNNNNNNNNNNNNNNNNNNNNNNNNNNNNNNNNNNNNGAUGGUGCUCCGGAGGUUGGCGAUGACCUUGUCUCAGCAGGGCUCCGCCCGAGCUCCGCAGAAACGCGANNNNNNNNNNCCGCGUUCAGCACACGUACAGCUCGACGAUGAUCUCAGCCUUCUUGAUCCAGCAAGAGAGACGGAGAGGUAGAAGAGUUCUCCGGCAGCGUUACGGUGCUCCGGAGGUUGGUGAUGAUCUCGUCUCGGCAGGGCUCCGCCCGAGCUCCGCAGAAACGCGAUCUAGAGGUAAAACCGUGGAGAUAUGUGGUCGGGCUGCCGUGGAAAAAGUUGUCUCAAAUCAGCCCUAAUACCUCAGUAUAUAUAGGAGGGAGGGGNNNNNNNNNNAGUGACGGCGCUCCGGGGGUUGGUGAUGACCUUGUCUCAGCAGGGCUCCGCCCGAGCUCCGCAGAAACGCGANNNNNNNNNNNNNNNNNNNNNNNNNNNNNNNNNNNNNNNNNNNNNNNNNNNNNNNNNNNNNNNNNNNNNNNNNNNNNNNNNNNNNNNNNNNNNNNNNNNNCCACGUCUUGCUCGUGAGAGAAGUUUUAGUCAACGGUUCUGAAACUUUCAGAUCCGUGUGUUCUUUACAAAUCUUUAUGUCAUCUUAUAGAUGCUGCUACUAUGUGCUAUUCGGAAAUACUCCAAAUAUCUACUCGACUAUACGAAUCUGUUUCACUACUCAUAGUUAUUCGGAUUAGUGUCAAAGCUUGCAUCGACGUAACCCUUUACGACGAACUCUUUAAGCACCUCCAUAAUCGAGAAAAAUUCCUUAGUCUAUUUAGUUACUAAGGAUAACUUUGACCGCUGAUGAGUGAUUCAAUCCUGGAUCACUCUGUGUACCUCUUAACAGACUUGCUGCAAGGCACACAUCAGGUGCGGUACUCAGCACGACAUACUUUAGAGUCUACGGCUAAGGCAUAGAAGACGACCUUCGUCUAUUCUCUUUAUUCUGCCGUGGUCGGGUUUUGAGUCUUACUCAAAUUCACACCUCACAACGCAACCAAGAACUCCUUCUUUGCUGAUCUAUUUUGAACUCCUUCAAAACUUGUCAAGGCAUGCAUUUUAUUGAAACUUCUAUUAAGCGUUUUGAUCUAUCUCCAUAGAUCUUGAUGCUCAAUGUUUCAAGUAGCUCAAUCCUGGUAUUCCUUUGAAAACUCCUUGUAUGCUUUACAGAAAUUCUACAUUACUUCUGAUCCACAAUAUGNNNNNNNNNNACUCACUUCUUUGGAAAUACAAGUUUCUCAUAAACCUUGUACAAACCCAAAAUCUUUGAUCAUCUCAUCAAAGUGUAUAUUCCAACUCCGAGAUGCUUGCACCAGUCCAUUGAAGGAUCACUGGAGCUUGCAUACUUGCUAGUAUCUUUAGGAUCGACAAAACCUUCUGGUUGUAUCACAUACAAUGUUUGCUCAAGGAAACCGUCGAGAAAACAAUGUUUUGACAUCCUACGUGCAACAUUUCAUAAAUAAUGCAUCNNNNNNNNNNAUAUAUAUUCCAACUCCGAGAUGCUUGCACCAGUCCAUUGAAGGAUCGCUGGAGCUUGCAUACUUGCUAGUAUCUUUAGGAUCGACAAAACCUCCUGGUUGUAUAACAUACAAUGUUUGCUCAAGGAAACCGUCGAGGAAACAAUGUUUUGACAUCCUACGUGCAAUAUUUCAUAAAUAAUGCAUCAACAACUAACAUAAUUCUAACAGACUUUUAGCAUCGCUAGGAGUGAGAAAGUCUCAUCAUAGUCAACUGUUUGAUCUUAUCGAAAACAUCUUUGCGACAAGUCGAGCUUUUCUUAAUAGUGACUUAUNNNNNNNNNNCUUUAGCAUCGCUACGAGUGAGAAAGUCUCAUCAUAGUCAACUGUUGAUCUUGUCGAAAACAUCUUUGCGACAAGUCGAGCUUUUCUUAAUAGUGACUUAUCACCAUCAUCGUCUGUCUUCUUUUAAAGACCCAUUUCUACUUAAUAGUCCUAUGACCAUCAAGUAAUUCUUCCAAAGUCUACACUUUGUUUUCAUACAUGGAUCCUCUCUCGGAUUUCAUGGCUUCCAGCCAUUUGUCGGAAUCUGGGCCCACCAUCCCUUUCUCCAUAAUUCGUAGGUUCACUGUUGCUCAACAACAUGACAUCCAAGACAGGGUUACCGUACUACUCUACAGCAGUACGCGACCUUGUCGACAUACGAGGUUUGUAGUAACUUGAUUCGAAGCUCAAUGAUCACCAUCAUCAGCUUCCACUUCAAUUGGUGUAGGCGCCACAGGAACAACUUCCUGCGCCCUGCUACACACUGGUUGAAGUGAUNNNNNNNNNNUCCAUUUUUACUCAAUAGUCCUAUGACCAUCAAGUAGUUCUACCAAAGUCUACACUUUGUUUUCACACAUGGAUCCUCUCUCGGAUUUCAUGGCUUCCAGCCAUUUGUCGGAAUCUGGGCCCACCAUCCCUUUCUCCAUAACUCGUAGGUUCACUGUUGCUCAACAACAUGACCUCCAAGACAGGGUUAAUGCACCACUCUGUAGCAGUACGCGACCUUGUCCACCUACGAGGUUUGUAGUAACUUGAUUCGAAGCUCAAUGAUCAUCAUCAUCAGUUUCCACUUCAUAUGAACAACUUCAUGCGCCCUGCUACACACUGGUUGAAGUGAUGGUUCAAUAACCUCAUCANNNNNNNNNNUGGUUACCGUACCACUCUGUAGUAGUACGCGACCUUGUCAACCUACGAGGCUUGUAGUAACUUGAUCCGAUGCUUGAUGAUCACCAUCAUCAGCUUCCACUUCAAUUGGUGUAGGUGCCACAGGAACAACUUCCUGCGCCCUGCUACACACUGGUUGAAGUGAUGGUUCAAUAACCUCAUCAAGUUCAACCACUCUCCCACUCAAUUCUUUCGAGAGAAACCUUUCCUCGAGAAAGGAUCCGUUUCUAGAAACAAACACUUUGCUUUCGGAUCUGAGAUAGGAGAUGUACCCAAUUGUUUUGGAUAUCCUAUGAAGAUGCAUUUAUCCGCUUUGGGUUCGAGCUUAUCAGACUGAAACUUUUUUCACAUAAGUGUCGAAACCCCAAACUUUCAAGAAACGACAGUUUAGAUUUCUCUAAACCUCAGUCUAUACUGUGUCAUCUCAACGGAAAUACGCGGUGCCCUAUUUAAAGUGAAUGCGGUUGUCUCUAAUGCAUAACCCAUAAACGAUAGUGGUAAUUCGAUAAGAGACAUCAUAGCAUGCACCAUACCAAAUAGUGCAUGGCUAUAAUGUUCAGACACAUCAUCACACUAUGAUGUUCCAGGUGGCAUGAACUGCGAAACAAUUUCCACAUUGUCUUAACUGCAUACCAAAACUCGUAACUCAGAUAUUCAUUUCUAUGAUCAUAUCGUAGACAGAUUAUCCUCUUGUUAUGACGAACUUCACUCUGAAACAGAAUUGAACUUUUCAAUAUUUCAGACUUGUGAUUCAUUAAGAAAUACUCCUGUAUCUACUCAAAUCGUCAGUGAAGUAAGAACAUAAUGNNNNNNNNNNCAUCCUCUUGUUACGACGAACUUCACUCCGAAACAGAAUUGAACUUUUCAACAUUUCAGACUUGUGAUUCAUUAAGUAAAUACUCCUGUAUCUACUCAAAUCUUCAGUGAAGUAAGAACAUAAUGAUAUCCACUACGUGCCUCAGCACCCAUUGGACUGCAUACAUCAAAAUGUAUCACUUCCAACAAGUUACUNNNNNNNNNNNNNNNNNNNNNNNNNNNNNNNNNNNNNNNNNNNAUGCAUGUCAUUAGUGAUUCGAAAUCAGGUGAGUACAAAGAUCCAUCAACAUGGAGCCUCUUCAUGCAAUUUAUAUUAACAUGGCUCAAGCGGCAGUGCCACAAGUAAGUGGUACUAUCAUCAUUAACUCGUAUCUUUUGGCACCAAUGUGUAACACUACAAUCGAGAUUCAAUAAACCAUUGAAGGUGAUUAUUCAAGCAAAUAGAGUAACCAUUAUUCUAUUUGAAUGAAUAAUCGUAUUGCAAUAAAUACGAUCCAAUCAUGUUCAUGCUUAACGCAAGCACCAAAUAACAAUUAUUUAGGUUUAACACCAAUCCCGAUGGUAGAGGGAGCGUGCGACGUUUGAUCAUAUCAACCUUGGAAACACUUCCAACACGUAUCGUCACCUCGCCUUUAGCUAGUCUCCGUUUAUGCUGUAGCUUACAUUUCGUGUUACUAAUCACUUAGCAACCGAACCGGUAUCCAAUACCCUCGUGCUACUAGGAGUACUAGUAAAGUACACAUCAACAUCAUGUAUAUCAAAUACACUUCUUUCGACUUUUGCCAGCCUUCUUAUCUACCAAGUAUCUAGAGUUGCUCCGCCUCAGUGACUGUUCCCCUUAUUACAGAAGCACUUAGUCUCGGGUUUGGGUUUAAUCUUGGGUCUCUUCAUUAGCGCAGCAACUGUUUUGCCGUUUCACGAAGUAUCCCUUCUAGCCCUCGCCUUUCUUGAAACUUAGUGGUUUUUCAAACCAUCAACUAUUGAUGCUCCUUCUUGAUUUCUACUUUCGCAGUGUUAAACAUCGCGAAUCGCUCAAGGAUCAUUGUAUGUAUCCUUGAUAUGUUAUAGUUCAUCACGAAGCUCUCACAGCUUGGUGGCAAUGACUUUGGAGAAGUAUCACUAUCUCAUCUGAAAGAUUAACUCCCACUUGAUUCAAGCGAUUGUCGUACUCAGACAAUCUGAGCACAUGCUCAACGAUUGAGCCUUUCUCCUUUACCUUGUGGACAAAGAAUCUUGUCGGAGGUCUCGUACCUCUUAACAAGGGCACAAGCAUGAAAUCACAAUUUCAUCUCUUUAGAACAUCACUUAUGUUCCGUGACGUUUUACAACGUUUUCGGCGCCUUGCUUCUAAGCCAUUAAGUAUUUUUGUACUGAACUAUCGUGUAGUCAUAAGAAACGUGUAUGUCGGAUGUUCACAGCAUCCACAGAUGACGCUCGAGGUGCAGCACACCGAGUGGUGCAUUAAGGACAUAAGCCUUCNNNNNNNNNNNNNNNNNNNNNNNNNNNNCAGCAUCCACAGACGAUGCUCGAGGUGCAGCACACCGAGUGUUGCAUUAAGGACAUAAGCCUUCUGCGCAGCAACGAGGACAAUCCUCGAUUUUACAGACUCAGUCUGCAAAGUUNNNNNNNNNNUAGCAUCCACAGACGUCGCUCGAGGUGCAGCACACCGAGUGGUGCAUUAAGGACAUAAGCCUUCUGCGUAGCAACGAGGACAAUCCUCGGUUUUACAGACUCAGUCUGCAAAGUUUGCUACUAUCAAUUUUCAACUAAAUUUUCUCUAGGAACAUAUGAAAAACAGUAGAGCUAUAGCGCAAGCUACAUCGUAAUUCGCAAAGACCNNNNNNNNNNUGCUACUAUCAACUUUCAACUAAAUUUUCUCUAGGAACAUAUAAAAACAGUAGAGCUAUAGCGCAAGCUACAUCGUAAUUCGCAAAGACCAUUAGACUAUGUUCAUGACAAUUAGUCCAAUUAAUCAUAUUACUUAAGAACUCCCACUCAAAAAGUACAUCUCUCUAGUCAUUUGAGUGGUACAUGAUCCAAAUCCACUAUCUCAAGUCCGAUCAUCACGUGAGUCGAGAAUAGUUUCAGUGGUAAGCAUCUCUAUGCUAAUCAUAUCAACUAUACGAUUCAUGCUCGACCUUUCGGUCUCAUGUGUUCCGAGGCCAUGUCUGCACAUGCUAGGCUCGUCAAGCUUAACCCGAGUGUUCCGCGUGCGCAACUGUUUUGCACCCGUUGUAUGUGAACGUUGAGUCUAUCACACCCGNNNNNNNNNNNNNNNNNNNNNNNNNNNNNNNNNNNNNNNNNNNNNNNNNNNNNNNNNNNNNNNNNNNNNNNNNNNNNNNNNNNNNNNNNNNNNNNNNNNNACACCCGAUCAUCACGUGGUGUCUCGAAACGAAGAACUGUCGCAACGGUGCACAGUCGGGGAGAACACAAUUUCGUCUUGAAAUUUUAGUGAGAGAUCACCUCAUAAUGCUACCGUCGUUCUAAGCAAGAUAAGGUGCAUAAAGGAUUAACAUCACAUGCAAUUCAUAAGUGACAUGAUAUGGCCAUCAUCACGUGCUUCUUGAUCUCCAUCACCAAAGCACCGACACGAUCUUCUUGUCACCGGCGUCACAGCAUGAUCUCCAUCAUCAUGAUCUCCAUCAACGUGUCGCCAUCGGGGUUNNNNNNNNNNUCACACCAUGAUCUCCAUCAUCAUGAUCUCCAUCAACGUGUCGCCAUCGGGGUUGUCGUGCUACUCAUGCUAUUACUACUAAAGCUAUGUCCUAGCAAAAUAGUAAACGCAUCUGCAAGCACAAACGUUAGUUAUAAAGACAACCCUAUGGCUCCUGCCGGUUGCCGUACCAUCGACGUGCAAGUCGAUAUUAUCUAUUACAACAUGAUCAUCUCAUACAUCCAAUAUAUCACAUCACAUCGUUGGCCAUAUCACAUCACAAGCAUACCCUGCAAAAACAAGUUAGACGUCGUCUAAUUUUGUUGUUGCAUGUUUUACGUGGUGACCAUGGGUAUCUAGUAGGAUCGCAUCUUACUUACGCAAACACCACAACGGAGAUAUAUGAGUUGCNNNNNNNNNNNNNNNNNNNNNNNNNNNNNNNNNNNNNNNNNNNNNNNNNNNNNNNNNNNNNNNNNNNNNNNNNNNNNNNNNNNNNNNNNNNNNNNNNNNNUAUAUAGGGGGGGAGGGGGUGCUCGGGAGGGAAAGAAUCGGGAGAUCGGGCGUAAUCUGGUGGUGCUCCGGUGAGAUCCCCUGCAAAGGAAAGAAGGGAGGGAGGAAGAAGGAAGGUGACCGGCAGGGGUAUCGGGUCGGGCGUGGGGGCCACGGCCAGAGAGAGAGAGAGAGAGGCGAGGGCGCAAGGAUCGGGCGGGCGAUCCGAACUGGAUUCGGAUCCGGAGGGGUGGGGUUCGGCCCACAGGCCUAUCUGGCGCCGGUGCGAAGAGAAAGAAAAAAAAUAUAUUUCCUUUUCUAUUUUAUUUUAAAACAAAAAGUAAAUCAAAGAAAAAGGCAAGUAAAUAAAACCUAAAAAUAGUGAUAUUAUAUAUCAAAAUUUUCAGAAAAAAAAAAUCUCUACACGUUUAACAUGUUUCCUAGGCCAAAAUAAAAACUAAAAAAAAUGUUUUUUCAGAAAAACCCUAAAAGCUUUAUUUUCUUUUGCAAAUAUUUUCACAAUAAAACUUUGGUUUUCUUGGCUCAAAAUAUUUGAGAAAUGCCUCACAUUUUGGAGGGUCAUUUUCCUCCGCUCUUUCUUGCUUGCAAGAAUUAUUUUCGGGGUAUUUCUCGGGUGAAGAAAAAAUAGAAAUGCAAAAGCAAAAAUCGAAAGAAUUCAAAUGCAAACCUUAUUUCAAUCAAUAUGCAUAGAUGCUUAGCUACAUUGUAAAACAUUCCAAAUUAGGAAAUUUGGGAUGUUACANNNNNNNNNNNNNNNNNNNNNNNNNNNNNNNNNNNNNNNNNNNNNNNNNNNNNNNNNNNNNNNNNNNNNNNNNNNNNNNNNNNNNNNNNNNNNNNNNNNNGGGAGAGGAUCAUCUGGUCUUCAAACACCCUAAAGUGCGAGGACAAACUCAAAGGCGGUCAAAUCUUGUGGGGAACGUGUGCAAAACUCUGCAGAGUACUCAAACCUAAUCGAUUAGCCGUGUCCACGGUCAUGGACAACUUGAGCCAAAGGAACUGAAGUUAUCGGGAAUUCUCAACACAAAUAAAAAAAUUGAUGUGGGUAUUAUUGACAACUUGGGUACGAGAAUUGGUUGGUGGAACCAUCUCGUUAACAACCAACAAUGUAGUAAUAUUUUGCUUUUAGCCUUCUCUUGUUGUAGGAGAAAACUUUGCUUUCCGCUAAAAACUUAUAAACCCCACCUGCCAUAUAUGCAUAUAGUAUAGAUGAUUACUUUUCACCCCUCUCUUAUGUGACUUGCCAGCAUAUUCAAUAUGCUGACCUACACGGCUGCAACGUCUUAUGUUGCAGAUAUUUUCUUCGACGAGUAAGAGUACGAUUCAGGGUUACGGUCUACACUCAACUUGUCGUUCGUGUUUACUGGGACUCCACUCCCUUUGACUGUUUCCGUUGAGAUUUUAAGGUAUAUAUAUAUAUAUAUCAGUUUUACGUUAUUUACAUGUGAUUGCACUUUGAAAUAUACAUUGAUGUACUCUGUGUGCCAGCAUACUGAUCCAGGGAUGGCAUAGAUACACAGAGGCUUGACUCGUUUUGAGUCGGGUCGCUACAACAAGUUUCUCAUAAACCUUGUACAAACACAAAAGCUUUGAUCAUCUCAUCGAAGCGUAUAUUCCAACUCCAAGAUGCUUGCACCAGUCCAUAGAAGGAUUGAUGGAGCUUGCAUACUUGUUAGCAUCCUUAGGGUUGACAAAAACUUCUCGGUGUAUGCUACUUCUCAAACAAUAGCGCCAGAAAUUGACACUUUGAUGGAGACUUGCUUGCAUUGGUUUUUCCCUUGAAGAGGAAAGGGUGAUGCAGCACAGGAGCAGUAAGUAUUUCCCUCAGUUUGAGAACCAAGGUAUCAAUCCAGUAGGAGAAUCUCAUCAAGUCCAGAGUACCUGCGCAAACACAAAAGAGCUUGCACCCAACGCUAUAAAGGGGUUUUCAAUCCCUUCAAGAUUGAUUGCAAAGUGAGAUCUGAAGGAGGAAAGUGCAACGAAGUAAAAGUGUAAGGCUGAAAAUAUGGUGUGGAGUAGACCCGGGGGCCAUAGUGUUCACUAGAGGCUUCUCUCAAAAUAGCAAAUACUACGGUGGGUGAACAAAUUACUGUCGAGCAAUUGAUAGAACCGCGCAAAGUCAUGACGAUAUCUAAGGCAAUGAUCAUACAUAUAGGCAUCACGUCAGAGACAAGUAGACCGAUACUUUCUGCAUCUGCUACUAUUACUCCACACAUCGACCGCUAUCCAGCAUGCAUCUAGUGUAUUGAGUUCAUGACGAACAGAGUAACGCCUUAAGCAAGAUGACAUGAUGUAGAGGGAUAAUCUCAAACCAAUGAUGAAAACCCUAUCUUUUUACCCUUGAUGGCAACAACAGAAUGCUUGCCUCGCUACCCCUUCUUUCACUGGGUGAGGUCAUCGCACGGUAUGAACCCAAAACCAAGCACUUCUCCCAUUGCAAGAAUCAUAGAUCUAGUUGGUCAAACAAAACCCACAACCCGAAGAGAAUUACAAGGAUAUGAAAUCAUGCAUAAGAGAUAUCAGAAGAAACUCAAAUAAGAUAUAUAGAUAAUCUGAUCAUAAAUCCACAAUUCAUCGGAUCUCGACAAACACACCGCAAAAGAAGAUUGCAUCGGAUAGAUCUCCAUGAAGAUCAUGGAGAACUUUGUAUUGAAGAUCCAAGAGAGAGAAGAAGCCAUCUAGCUACUAGCUAUGGACCCGUAGGUCUAUGGUGAAAUACUCACGCAUCAUCGGAGAGGUCAUGGUGUUGAUGAAGAAGCCCUCCGUAUCCGAAUCCCCCCUCCGGCAGGGCACCGGAACGUGCCCCAGAUGGGAUCUUGCGGAGACAGAAGCUUAGGCGGCGGAAAAGUACUUUCGAUGAUCUCCUGAUUUUUUCUGGAAUUUAUGGGAAUAUAUAGGAGAAAGACCUAGGGAGAGGUGGCCCAGGGAGCCCACAAGCCUGCGAGGCGCGGCCCCCCUGGCCACGGCUAGGGGGCUUGUGGGGUCCGUGGUGGCCCCCUGCCCUAGUUCUCAGACUCCCCGGUCUUCUUCUCUUUCGGAAAAAAUCUUUUUGGAAGUUUUGUUCCGUUUGGACUCCGUUUAAAAUCUUCCUCUGAAAAGGUUCAAAAACACGGAAAAAACAGGAACUGGCACUUGGCACUGAGUUAAUAAGUUAGUCCCAAAAAAUAUAUAAAAGGCAUACAAAACAUCCAAAGUUUGGCAAUGUAAUAGCAUGGAACCAUCAAAAAUUAUAGAUACGUUGGAGACGUAUCAAGCAUCCCCAAGCUUAACUCCUGCUCGUCCUCUAGUAGGGAAGUGAUAAAGACUGAAUUUUUGAUCUGGAAUGCUACCUAGCAUAGUUGUCCUUUGCAAUUUAUUUCGUGUGACAUGAAUGUUCAAAUCCGUAAGAUUCAAAACAAUAGUUUGCUAUUGACAUGAAAACAAUAAUACUUCAAGAAAACUAGCAAGGUAAUCAUGAACUUUCAAAAUAACAAGGCCAAGGAAAGUUAUCCCUACAAAAUCAUAUAGUCUGGCUAUGCUCCAUCAUCCUCACACAACUAAUGUAAAUCAUGCACAACCACGGUAUUGGCCAAGUAAUUGUUUUCGCACUCUUACUUUCUCAAACUUUUUAUAACUAUCACGCAAUACAUGAGCGUGAGCCAUGGAUAUGCACUAUACGUGGAAUAGAGUGUGGUGGAGGUUGUGAGACAAAAAAGGAGGAGAUGGUCACAUUGACUCGGUGUAUCAAAGGGCUAUGGAGAUGCGCAUUAAUAGAUAUCAAUGUGAAUGAGUAGGGAUUGCCAUACAAAGGAUGCACUAGAGCUAUAAGUAUGUGAAAGCUCAAAAGGAGAACUAGUGGGUGUGCAUUCAACUUGCUUGCUCACGAAGACCUAGGGCAAUUUUGAGGAAGCCCGUCAUUGGAAUAUACAAGCCAAGUUAUAUGAUAAAGAUUCCCACUAGCAUGUGGUAUUGAUGCAACGAGAGGCUCUCAAUCAUGAAGAACAUGGUGCUAUUAUGAAGCACAAGUGUGGAAAAAGAUAGUAGCCUUGUCCCUUCUCUCUUUUUCUCUCUUUUUUUUUAUUUUUUUAUUUGGGCUCUUAGGCCUCUCUUUUUUUAUUUCCUCACAUGGGAAAAUGCUCUAAUAAUGAUGAUCAUCACACUUUUAUUUACUCACAGCUCAAAGCUUAGAACGAUGAUGACUCUAUAGGAAAUGCCUCCGGCAGUGUACCGGGAUGUGCAACGAUCUAGCUUGGUGUAUGAUGUUGAAACAUCUCGCUAGCUAUCUUACGAUCAUGCAAUGGCAAUAUGAGAGUGACGGCACAAGUCAUGAGACGGAACGGUGGGAUUUGCAUGGCAAUAUAUCUCGGAAUGGCUAUGAAAAUGCCAUAGUAGGUUGGUAUGGUGGCUGUUUUGAGGAAGGCAUAUGGUGGGUUUGUGCACCGGCGAAAAUUGCACGGCACUAGAGAGGUUUGCAAUGGUGGAAGGUGAAAGUGCAUCUAUACCAUGGACUCACAUUAGUCAUGAAGAACUCACAUACUUGUUGCAUAAAUUUUUAUUAGUAAUCGAAACAAAGUGCUAAAUGCAUACUCCUAGGGGAAGGGUUGGUAGGUGUUAACCGUCGCGCGAUCCCGACCUCAACACAAAGGAUGACAAUCAAUAGAUCAAUUAUGCUCUGACUUCCUAACAUAGAGGUUCACCAUACGUGCAUGCUACGGGAAUCACUAACUUCAACACAAGUAUUUCUAGAUUCACAACACCCUACUGACAUAGCUCUUAAUAGUACCAAAUCCAUGUCUCAAAACUAAUUGAGAGGAAUCAAGACUUCUCUUUCUACUCAAUGCACAUGAAGAUGGAGAUUUUUUUAUCCUCUUUGGGUACCUAUCACCUUUGGGACUACUUUUAUAGCAUAAGCCAAUUACCAAGUCACGCACGGCCGUGCUCUAAAAGACCUAAGUGAAGCACAUAGAGCAAAAUUAUCUAGCUCAACAGGAUAUAAGUGAAGCACGAUGAGCAUUCUAGCAAAAUCACGAUGCGUGCAUGUCUCCCUCUAAAGAUGUGCAGCAAGGAUGAUUGUGACACAACAAAAAGAAAAGAAUCCUAAGAUACAAGACGCUCCAAGCAAAACACAUAUCAUGUGGUGAAUAAAAAUAUAGCUCCAAGUAAUGUUACCGAUGGAUUGAAGACGAAAGAGGGGAUGCCUUCCCGGGGCAUCCCCAAGCUUAGGCUUUUUGGUGUCCUUGAAUUUGGCUUGGGAUGCCUUGGGCAUUCCCACGCUUGAGCUAUUUCCACUCCUUGUCUCUUUGUCCAUGAGAACAUCACCCAAAACUUGAAAACUUCACAACACAAAACUUAAACAGAAAUUUGUGAUAACAUUAGCACAAGAAAACAAACUACCACCACUUUAGGUACUGUAGAAAUCUUGAUUUCUAUUUAUAUUGGUGUUGGGCUACUGUAUUCUCACUUUUCCAUGGCUAGUACUGUAAUGCCCCAAGAGUAUACCUUUCCCUUUUUGGAACCUGGCCUAUGUGGGUCCAACUUGUCUUUGAUAUGAGAGAGUUCUAUGCAUAUGAUUUCAUGUGAUGUCACCUUGUUAUUUCUCCCUUUGCAUGCAUGCAUUUCAUAUCACUCCAUGUGGUAUGUGUGAUGCCUUGUGAUCGUAUGUGUUUGUGUGAUCCAUGGUGGUGUGGUGAUGUGAUGGGUUAGCUUGUGUGGAGUAUGCAUGUGUUAGUAGGAAUCACCUUGUGAUUUGCAUAGGUUUCAAAACCAUCUUCCCCCCUCUCUAUUCCAUCUUAAUGUCAAGUUUCACUUGAUCCUUUUCUGUUUUAAAAAUGUCCCUGAUUUAGCUUAUGUUUGUGGUGAAUUUGUGAUGUGAUAUUGCUCUUUUGAAUGGGUGUGCAAAUGGUGCAAAUAGAUACAAAACAGACUCCAAUAAAUUUGUUUUGUAAAUAUUUAGUUGCUCCAAAUAUCCAUUUUACAAUUGAUUCAAUUAGGGCAUAAUUUCUUAUGUCCAGGGGUGUGCUUGUUUUAUUUUUAGUAUCUAUAGUUUAGGCUAUGCUUUUAUUUGUUUCCCUAAUGUUGCUAGUAAUGGAAAAAACCCAGGAGUUAUUUCUUCUUAUGUGGCGCCUCAGGUGGGCUUCCUCCCCCCUGAGCGGCCCAGUUCUCCUCUCCCCGCAAUAGAGCCCAGCUGCACGACCGCCUUCCUCCUCCUGACGUCGUCUGCUACCGUGCCUCCUUUCCGUUUGAGCUUCAGAGAGAGAGAGCGUGUCGCCGUGAGGAACACAGACGUCGAGGCCCUCCCCAUAAAGCGUGGGCGUCCAUGCCCCCUCUUCCCUAGGGUUCCUCAUCUCCCCGUCCGCCGCCGCCACCUCUCUCCAUCUCCCUCCUUCCUUCCUUCCCCCUCUGGUAAGUCUAUACGGAUCGAAACAGAGAGAGAAGAGAAGAGAAGUGAUCGCCGGCGUCUACCCCUGCUCCCGUUGUCAUCCGGCGCCGCCACCAUGUCCAGGGGCUCGGGGAUGCACCCCGUGCUCCAUUCCCGUCGUCGCUGAGGUCGAGGAGCGACCUCAUCGAUGGGCAGGAGCUCGCCAUCGACUCGGACCUGGAGUUCUUUGUCCUCUCCUUUGAUCUGCUGUAGGCCCUCUUCUUCAGUACAACUACCUCCUCUCAAGCCGGCCUCCUCCUCCGAUCGGCGCCCCCUCUUCCUUCCCUAGGUGAGCUAGUGCUCCUCCCUCCUUCCCCUCGAGUAGAUCAGGCUGAGAUCAUCGGCACACCUCUGUCCCGAGAGGAUAUCUCGCAUGCAUGUGUGUGUUUUGUGUUGUGUGUGCUCGGUAGACGUGGGUGCAGAGCAGGGGCUUUCUCCCCCUCGUAGUAGCAGCGUCGUAGCGUGAUGGUUCUUCCCGAGGCGCAGCAGCAGUAGCAGUGCAGCUCCGGCGGCCUCUCUGUCACCGGCAACUCUCUGUAGGCAGAGCAGGGCAUGCCUGCAGGUUACCUUGUAGGCUGUCCCCUCUCUGUCAGAUCCCGAAGUGUAGCGUGGUGCUAGAUGCAGUGCGUUGAUGUAGUUCUGGUCGUGGGUUCGAUUCCCCCUCGAACCCUUUUUUGCUAUUAUUUCGGCCAGUGGCAGUUACAGUAGAAGCAGAGCAGGUUAACCUGCUUAGCCCCCCCCCCCAUCUCUGUCGAGCAAAAGACAGUAGCCCAGUGGUAUGUUGCAUAGUUGUGAUCCAGGGGGUGCAGGGUUCGAUUCCUGCCCCCUCCUUUUAUUUUUUCCUUUUGCAUUUUGUGCUAUAGACCUUUGGCUUGUUGUAGAUGAUGUUGUGGUGUGCUUUACACCAUUAGGGUAUUUUUCCUCCUCUCAAAACAGCAUGUGGUGCUUGGUGUUUUUGUAGUUGUAAAUACAUGAUGGUGUAGGCUUGUGUGGGUGUGUAGGAUUACUUGGUAUUGUGAGCAUGUGUGUAGAUAUGUUCUUGGUAGCUAUGCAUGUGUAGAUGGAUUUGCAUGUAUGCAUGUGUAGAUUCAUGUGUGUGAGUGCACCUUGUGGGUGUAUGGCACUAAGGUGGUGUUUCCUUGUAGUGCAAGUGCUUGUUAUGUGUGAGUGUGUGUGUCCAUGUGCAUGGUAAUGGACUCAUGCCCAUGGGGUGAUGUGAGUGUGUGUGUGCUCAUGUGUGUGUGUCUCAACCAUGUCAUGGCAAGAUAUGACUUGAUGAGCACAUGUGCAAGAUGACAUGUGUAGGGUAGAAGUGCUUAUGUGAGUGCUAUGUAGGAGUUAAUUCUAUCUAGCAUGUGUAGGUGUUGUUUUGCUAGUGCUAGUGUUAAUUGUGUGGGAAUGGUGAUGUGCUAUGGCACACAUGCAUGGGGUCUAAACCCUCAUGCCACCGUUGGUCUUGUAAGAGUGUGCAAUAGCUUAUGUAGGUGUAGAUCUAGUGAAUAGCACAUGUGAUGAUGCAAUAUUCACUAUAUGUGAUUCUAUGUAGAUUUUCUUUUCUAGUUUGUGCUCAUUUGUUCCAAGCAAGUGCAUAGGUAUUUUAUAUGUUUUUGGGGUAUAAUCAUCCCAGGAAUCCAUUGGUGAAGUCAGUUUUGCCAUUGCAACAAUUUCUGGAGAUGACUUAUUUCAGUUGUGUUCUAUGUUUAGAGCUUGGUUCCAUGAGAUGUGGUGAGCCCAAGAGGUAGAUUCCUUGUUGGGGCAUUAGAGGGUGACCCCCUCUAAGGCAUGUUGGUUUUGUUUCAUGUUUAGGAAUUCAUAUGUGCAAGUUGUGCCCAAUCGAAGUAGGCAUGUGGCUGAAAUUCCAGAUUAGUGAAAAUAUGAGAUUUUCACUAAGUCUGAGAAUCUGUUUAUAUUUUCUUCUCCUAUUGAUGAGCUUGUGCAGGUCCAUGUGUUUUGAUUCAGCCUUAGCUUUCAACUGGGAAGUUGUAGCUUUUGUGUUUGUCUAGCUCUCUGUAAAUUUUCAUUCCAUUUGGAGUCCUGUAGAUAUUGUUUUGGGUGCUGUCAAAAUGCUUCAGAGCAUAAACAGCUAGUGAGAAUCUGGAAUUUUCACUAAGUCCCUGAAAACUGAUAUUUUUGGCCAAGUUAGCAGCUGUGUAACUUUCAGUGUGAAACUCCUUUGCUUUAUCUUUUUGCUUGUGCUUGUAGUACUCUUGGAUAGCUUCUGCUACAUAUCUUAUUUGUCAUGUUUGGGUGGCUGUAGGUGCUUUGCAUGUAGCCCUCAAAGUGCUAUCAUGUUGUUUAUGAAGACUAGUUUAGUGCCCGUGCGUUGCCACGGGACAAAUAUAUAUAUAUAUAAAUACAUUGAUCAAAUAAUUGUUAUUCAGAAGUGUAUGUCAAACAUGAUGGACAAAUACCGGUCCUUUCUAUACUUAUUUUCAGAGCGAACGAGAGGUCUAAACUAAGGGUUUGCAAUAAAAUAAGCAAAUGCACUCAAAAUAAAUGAUUUCAACCGAUCAAAAUGAAGGGAGGUGAGAGAGAGGUACCUUGGGUGAUGAAAGUGCUCCGGUUUCAACGGACAAAUCUCAAGCAUAUAAGAGAUAUCUAAAAGGCUCUUGUGUGAGGAAGAGAGAGGGGGAAUAUCUGAGCUCGAAAGAGAGGUGAAGGACUAAAUGUGUGGGUAUGGGGAAGGGGAGGAAAGACCUCAUCCAACAAGACAAUCUUAUCCUCGGGACCCUACCGCCAAGGUCCCGAGCGGUAGACUCUGCACCCUACCACCAUAGUGCUCGAUGGUAGGCACUUUGCCAUGUCAUCGCUAGCUGACGGCCAUCAGUUGCCGUUCUAUCCACCUAUGUCUCCCUAUCACCGGAGGGGCCUGACAAUAGGGUGUGAGUCUACCGCCAGACCCUCCCAUGAUAGGUAAAAGGGCGAGAUGAUGACAUUACAUUUUUACCAACGGGUUAGAUCUGACUAAAGAAUAAAAAAGGGUCAAAACAAGAAAUUUUCCCCUCCUCCCUCCGUGCAAAUUCCCACAGCCGAAGGCACUGCUCACGCAUAGCUGCAGCGCUGACACUUCAUGCUGCACAUCCAUCCAUCCAUGCAUUAUUCCAUCAGGCAUCAGCUACCUAGCAGAACAGUUCAAAACAGUACCAACAAAAACGCACAGAGACAGCCUACAGGAAAACAGUGCGCACAGUAUAACGUUGUAGACACUUGGCUCCAGUAUUUGUAUUUUACAGAUAGUGUAGCACGUUCUUGCAACUUUGCAAGGCAAAACAUGAGGAAGAAAAAAGUUCGGUUCCGGCCUCUCAACCAUUCCAUCAGUUUUCAAAAAAAAAGUGUGGGGAUUCCAGCAAAAGUUAAGAAGCCAAAAUGAACAGUUUUCAGACAAAGGAAUAAGAUGACUACUAUCAUGUGCAAGGCUGGAGAAAGAAGAGGAAAGAAUAGCUGACCAAUGGAAAAUUUCCUUUCUAUAUUUACUCAACUCAUCACAUCUCAUCUCUCUUAGCCUACAUGUACAUGAGCAGCAACGAUGCCACCUCUCCUCUCCCUUUGCCCGGUAUCUCCAAAGCUAAUCGAACGCGACACAUCCAUUGAGGCACAAGCAAGCAUCUACGCGAUCAAAUUGGUCGCCGUCGCCGGUCACCUUGGUACGGAGAGCUCCAUGGCCUCGAGGCCGACCGAGGACUCGUCGGCCCCCGCGAAAUCAGUGAACUUCAGGGGCAGGAGCUCCGACGAGACGGACUUUGGCGUGUCGACAUUCUGCAACGCCUCCCAUUUCUCCGCGAGCCCGUCCCCUUCCAGCAUCCUGAUCACCUCCGACAUCCGGGGGCGGUGGGACGGGUUGUUGGAAUUAUGCCCUAGAGGCAAUGAUAAAUAUAGUUAUUAUUAUAAUUCCUGUAUCAAGAUAAUUGUUUAUUGUCCAUGCUAUNNNNNNNNNNNNNNNNNNNNNNNNNNNNNNNNNNNNNNNNNNNNNNNNNNNNNNNNNNNNNNNNNNNNNNNNNNNNNNNNNNNNNNNNNNNNNNNNNNNNUGAACGCGGAGGUGCCGUCCGUUCGGUACUAGAUCGUAACGGAUCGUGGGACGGUUCGAGGGACGUGAAGACGUUCCACUACAUCAACCGCGUUUCUUAACGCUUCCCGCUGAGCGAUCUAUAAGGGUACAUAGAUCUAAUGUCCUCUUGUAGAUGGACAUCACCAUGAUAGGUCUUCGUGUGCGUAGGAUUUUUUUGU
Molecule: long non-coding RNA, 79366 nt
Filed under: Hordeum vulgare
Lineage: Eukaryota; Viridiplantae; Streptophyta; Magnoliopsida; Poales; Poaceae
Description: long non-coding RNA (HVUL_LNC019753)
Source: RNAcentral